This 84892-nucleotide long non-coding RNA is filed under the name Populus trichocarpa (black cottonwood). RNAcentral's name for it is "long non-coding RNA (PTRI_LNC002423)". The stretch from base 41538 to 41693 matches the Rfam family "MIR2912 microRNA precursor family". Lineage: Eukaryota; Viridiplantae; Streptophyta; Magnoliopsida; Malpighiales; Salicaceae. The record is from RNAcentral.
UUAUCUGACAGGAGAGUUGAAGAAACUCAAGACCCUUGUUAUAAAUGCAAAAGAACAUGGAAUAAAAGGAGUACCUGCUUUGGUCAAAAGGAUGCUAGAAAAGAACAUGUUUCUUUUUGGGUUCGUGGAUUUACAUGAAGGUUCUGUCAGUGAGACAGGGAACCAACUCACAGAAUUGCAAGAUGCCCGUGUGCAAGUUGCAUAUAAGAAGUAUGUUUUCUAAGAAUGAUAUAAUUUAUUCCAAUCUAAUAUAAUAGCAUGAUUAGGCAGGUUUCAGGUUUCAAAACAUUCUAUGGAUCCUCUUAUUGCUCCACUGCUUUCUUUAUAACAGGUUGUUUGAUGAUAUUCGGAUUGAGCAAUUCCUCCAUAUGGACAUGGUGGUAUGUUGCAUAACUCAUGUAAAGGUUUUACUCAGGUUCCACUAGAUCAAUAGUUGCAAAUAGGCCCCGCCUUUUCCUAUUUUGAAAAUAGAUACCUGUAGGUAUAAUGAUUGUACGAUGCUCACAGUUGGUGCCAUGGUUUUCCUCUUUUUUUUUUUCUUUCUUCAGAAUAAGCUUGUGGAUUGAAUUGCAUCUGCAUCUGCAGGGUAUGUAAUUUGAUUUAGAGAUGCUCAAGAAAAUGUUAACAGAAUAUGCAGAGGCGAAGAAACAUGUCAACAGAGGUAUGUUCUUUUAUCCAUCUCAUGUCCUUAUUUAAAAGUUAUAGACUGAAUAAGCAUCAAAUAGUGAAAGUAACAUGUGUAUUUUUCCUUAAUAUAGCUGUUUGAUAUUGUGGUAGCUGUUGUGGUUGUGGUUUGAAAAAGUUGUUUUAUAAAAAGUAAUUUUGAUUGAGGUUGAUUUGGUAUUUAUGAAUGUUUGGUUAAAACUGUGGUUGAAAAUGAGGUUGAAUAAAAAAUAGUUUAAUGUAUUUGGUUAAUAAUGCUUUUGAAAUUGAGGUUAUAAAAUAAUUUUAAAAAAUAUAUAUUAAUAUUGAUGAUUUUUAAUUUAAAUAUUGUAGAUUUAACUAUUGUUAUUACAUCAUGAAAUAAAUAAUACUUUAUAUAAAAUAUUUUUUAUUGUUUCAUUAAACUAUCUACAAUUCCAUCACGUAUGAAAUACAUCCGACAAGGAUUACAGUUUUUUUGGUAUCUUAAGCGCGCAACAUCAGGUAAAAUAUAAUCAGGAACAAAAUUGGGAUUGCGAUCAAAUUCUGCAAAUGCUACGUCAUCAAGUGAUCUCUGUCUAAUUUAUGUAGUGUCAUUGAAUAAUGUUAAACACUAGUGUUUCGAAUAUAACACAAUUAAAAAAUAAAAAAUAAUUUUAUUAUUUUUUACUGGGUCGGACCUGGUUCAAUGCAUUUUGAGCUUUGAACCGGAACCGGUCCAACCGGAACAGUGGAGCUGGCUACACUGUUUAUGCUAAUUAAUUAGCAUGAACAGUGCGCAAGAAGCAGCAAUUGCUUGCUUUUCUUUCCCCUGCGUUUCGGACGCAAAACACUGUGGGACCCAUAAACAGUAAACUGGGUUUUUUCCUUAACCAAACAGGUUGCAUCUGCGUUUUAAACAAAACGCAGACGCAACCUCAUUACCAAAUGGCCUCGAAUCCAUAAGAGUUUGUGUUUAUUCUUAUUGUCGAUUUGUUACUCAACCCAAAAAUUUCUCUCUGAUUCUUAUCCACAUCAUUUAUGGUGCUGUAUAAACUUUGAAGCACAUAUCAAUUAAUACUAUCUAAACAUGUUAAAUAUGCUUGGUCCAGAUAUCAUGGAGUCUCCAAUUUAUAUUUCCCUUUUAAAAUUCUUUCAGUAUCUAAUGACGUAUUUAAUUUACCACUUUUUUUUUUCAGAAGCAAGCAAGGCAGUAGAUGUCCAAAACAUACAGCAUAUAUCAUAUGAUAGGGAAUUUAUUUGAGAUGAAGUUGAGAGGAUCACAGAGAACUGGAACGUCCAAAGGCAAGUGUUUUAUCAGCAAACAGGACUGAAUCAACGUCAUGCUCAGAAAGAUGAGCAACAACAUCAACCACAGCACAAAAAACAUGAACAACACGAUGAUGAUUUUGGUGAUGAAUUUUGUCAUCAACUGGAACUGCAACUAACUGAAGAAGAACAGCUACAACAAAAACAAGAGGAUGAUGAAUGUAAUCAUGAAUUGGAGCUGUAACUUUCUGUAAAACAACUCUAAUAAUGUAGCAACAAAAUGGUGAGGAAUUAUGCUACAAAAACCAGGACAAAUAGGAAUCCCAUGGUUUAGGACAUAAUUAUCUAGCAAGGUGAUCAUUCCAAUCUGCGGAAUUUUGUGAUUAGACUGCUGCAAUUUGAACCUCCCUUCAAGACUAUCCCCAGGACUUUUUCAGUUUAUGAAAGAGAAAACUGAUUGGUUUUCUGGAUAGGUUUCUCAAGCUACUGUAUUUAUUAUCAAAACACAAAAAGGAUCUCUCUGUAUAAAACGUUUGUCAGUAUAUGUUGAGAAUGGCAUCUUGAAACAACUAGAGUCAUUUUUAAUGUUAUUCUUUGCCAUUGGUCUGCAUCCCCAUGAAGUCUAUAAACCUAGCUUUUCCAGUUCUGUUAGGCCCCUUGUCCCACCCUUCCAGUACCAAGAAUUUUGUUUUCCUGUUCAUGCCAUACAUGUCUAUUGUUGAUUUUAAGUGCAGAUAAAGUUCAGAUUGGGUUUCUGUCGUUUAUUUUGGUCCACUGGAUUCUUGUUAGUGUCACAAUCAUCUCAGGAUUAUUCAAUACGUUUCAUUACAAUACCUCAUGAAUCAUGCUUUACUGAAGGAAGCAAUUGAAGUGUAUUCCCUUUUCUUUUAUGGUUUCCAGCUGUUCUCUUUUAUGUUGAUUAAUAAAAAGAGGAAACAUUAGUUGUGUGUUGACUAUCACCAUUUUCAAUGAUUCAGAUUAUAUCAAACGGCAUGGAGAUGGAUUUUUGCAAGAGUCUUUUAAGUUGUUUGAGCUUAGUUCAGAGCAGAGUAUUAAUUAAACUGUUAGGUAGCAGAAUUCUUAAUUGACCAUUCCCCCUCAAUUCCUCACAUGAUUACAUGAACUAGUAAACUACAAAAGCAAUAAAAUUAGAGGGGAAACAUGUAAGUAUAAUAAAUAUCCCAAUACCCAAACCUUCCAAGUAGCCCUUAACUCUUUUCUAAAUGAAUUUUCCUAUGACUCAAUCUCAACAACAUGAAAUUUGCCCUUCUCACGCAAGCUAUCCAAGCUAAAACCAACCAACCUAGAAUUCAAAUUAUACACAAAAUCAACCACAUUUGAGUCCACAAUGCACUUCCUUGGCUUAGCAGAUGAAUAAGCACCAAACUUGCCACAUCCUUUAACCUCUAUGCAAACUUUCACAACUAAUUCAUCGCUAUAGUUCCCUACCCUCUUCAGUCACACCACUACUUUCACCCCUGUAUCCAUCAUCAAGCUCUGAUAAUUCAACACCACCUUUCACUUCAAACUUUAGCCCCUUAAUGGCUCCACCUGCAUUGAACAUGUUGGUUAGCCCCAGGGGUGCAAAGCUGAACCCAGUUGCUAAAACCUUGAUGUGUGUUACAGUGAAUAUGCCAUGCUCAAGGACUUUGAGUGACACUGGCAAGGCUGCAUUGUAAAGGAGGGUGAUUAGUUAUCCCGUCCGGUGACAAUAGAAAACACAAUUGUCAUCCCAGUUGUUGCUACCCAAUUUUUGAUCCAUGUUUUGAUAAAUUUUUCAGAAAAAUUCAAAAAUAGCGAAAAACAAUGAAAAUAAAAAAAAUACGUUUUUUAAUAUAUUUGCAUCAUUUUUAGCAUUUUCAGCAUCGUCUUAAAAGAAUUUAAUUUUUCAAAGGUCUUUAAAGCGCGUUCAACUUUUAACGCGUUAUUUUUAAAAAAUCAAUAAUUUUCCUCAUUUCGAGUCGAUGUUGAUAAGAAAAAUCUAAAAAAAUAAAAAAAAUCAAAUUUACAAAAAAAAAAGUUGAGGGACUAAGUUUGGUGACCUAGCAACAUUUUUGCCUAUAAAUAGGAGUUUCCAACACAUACAAAAGGGAAGGGGGCAAUUUUGAAAAAACAAAAAAAAAAACCCUAAACCUAAACCUUCACAGUGCAGGCCUCUGCCCCCUUCCUUUGGUUUCUCUCCCAAAACCAGCCAAAGGAAAGCAGCCCCACAGGCCGCUCUCCAUUUCCUUCCCCCCAUUUCCUCUCAUCUUCAACCUAUAGCACAACAACCCCAUUUUCCUCCACAACAGCCAGCAUUCCCUUUAUCCUCUCCUCUCCCCCGGCUUGCUCUUCUUCUUCACCCAUAGAAGUCAGCCGCCGCUACACCUCCAUCUCCCACAUCGGACAAGCUCCCCUCCUCCAGCCGUUCCUCCAGCGCCCACAGACCCAACAACACAGAAGCUCCCUCCUUGGCAGCAUCUUCUUCUUCGGUCUUCUCAACAGUAAACGACCAAAACAACAGCCCGAAGCCAACCCAACUGCAACACCCCCCUCUCGGCCGUUCAGCCUGGGAGCCGCCUACCACCCGAAGCGAAAGGGAGGAAGACGGAAACCAAAGAAGGAUCUGUGGUGAAAUGGAUCUGAAAGGAGAGAGACAAAUCUGAAAAACAAAGAAAUAAAAACCUAAAAUCAACUGUUUGUGCGUUUUUCUCCUUGUUGCAAGUGGCGGUGACCUUCACAGACAGCGUAGGAAGACAAAGAAGAAGAAGACGUUCCCGAUCCACGGUUUUAUUGCCUUUAUCGGCGGUGGCGUGUGAACCCAUGCGCCACCAGUGGUGGUGGCGCGUGGAGCAACACGCCGCUACUGUUUCUGCAGUUUCAGAGGGCUUCCCAGCACUGUUCCUGAAUUUUUUAGGGUUCAUUUCAUAAAUUUAAAAUUGUUUAAUGUGUUGUUUUGUUUAUUUUGAAUUUUUGAUUGAUUUGUAAUCAUGUAAUGGGUGUGUGCUUAAACAUAGUAAAAGGAAAGUGUUGGAGUGGGUGUUUUGUUAUUAUUUUUUAUGUAUGUCUUGUUUAUGUUAAAACUAAAAAGAAAUUUUAAUUUGCAUUGAAUUUGGUUCAUAUUUCAAAAAAUAUCAAAAAAUAUUUUUUCUUUUGGUAACUAGAUUAUAAUCUUAUAUGUAAGAUGCAUUUUUUAUAUUAAAUAGAAAAGUUUGUUUUGUUUUUAUUGAUGCUAGAGCAAUUAGGUUUUUUUAUCCGAUAAGAUAAGGAUCUCCUUACCGAGGAGAACUUUUCUUCUCUUUUUAAGAAAUCAUUGGCAAGACAACUUUCAAAACCUUUUAAAUUACAUCAAAUCGCGAAGCAGCUUACCUCAGGUAGGGUGCGUUAAGGGUGUUAAUACCUUCUCUAACCACAACCAGUUCCUUACCCGUGAAUCUCUAAUAAAGACCAGUAUAUCCGGGUUUCCUAGUAACCCUCAAGUAAAUACUAGGUGGCGACUCCCAAGAACCAACAAGCAAAUGAAUCAAAAAUCACCAAACGGACGCCACGCGGGCGACGUGCAACACCAAUUGGAGUCCGUGGCAGCUUCAAUGAUGAGGUGAACAUCACGACCCCUAAUAGUGCCUGUUAGGGUAUCAGUUGUGGUUUGGUGGAAAGCGUUCUUUAUUUCCGUGCUGCUCCAAGCUGCUCCUUGGCAAUUGUAGACACCUAAGACCCCUGUGAACUUGUUCAUGCUCAAUAUUUUCAAUAAGCUGCAAUCAAAGAAAAACUGUUUAAGAAAAUUCUCCAUAAUGCAACAUUUCUAGGAUAAGAAAUUAGCUAAAAUUCAGAUGAAAAUAUUUUCAUCAUGCUAGCUAGCUUAGAUGACGAAACUAUCAAGAAAAAAAAGAUUUAUCGCACUCCAUCACGAGAAGGGUCAGAGAACAAGUAGUCAGAGGUGGGCCUUCCAAGCAAACAAGCUCGAAGAAUAGACCCAUCGGGAAGUACCACCUUCUUUAGUAGCUCAAAGUUGUGCUUCCCAGGUGCAUCACUGCUCAUAAAAAAUGUUACCACAAACAUUUAGCAAAUGACAUAGCACAAAAAUAUUUGAUGAUAUCUUAAUUUAACAUUGAAAUUUUGAUUGAUGAUGAAGGACUAGGAUUUACUACCUGACAUAGAUGGGUCCACCACUAAUAGCCCUAGCAGAAGCAUGAUACUCUGCAGCUGUAUGUAAAGAAUGGAACAUGUCCCAAUCAGGCAGCAUGAACUCUCCUAAGAAAACACUGUUAUAUGUCACUGCUACUAUAUGAAUGGUGUGUGAUACUGGAUCACGCGGGUAGAAAUAAUCUGAUGCUCUCACCACUGCUGUUUGUUUGGAGAUGCGCCAUAAUGAUGCAACCAUAUUAUUCAAUAGUUUCACCCACAUUUAACUAGUGUUUUGCCUAUGUUUUAUAUAUAAAAUGCCUUGAUAUUCUUUGUUUUAUGUUUUGAAGGCACUUUUGGAUGAAAGAUGCAAAAAGGAGUAAAUUGGAGAUAAUUGGCAGAUUUGACCUUCAGUCGAUGUUUUGUGCAGAGCGUAAGCUCUAGAGGUUGAAAUGAAGUGAUUCUAGUGGAAUUAAAAAGAUAACAUCCAUACCUUUCUGGAAAUCUAAGUCAAGAAAAUAAAAUAAGGAAGAGCAUGAAAAUCGCAGCCUUCAAAGUCAAAUCUCGCAAUCUGCCAGUGUUGACCUUCGGCCAUUCCAACUUGAAUAUCUGGAGCUACAGAAGUCCAAUUGAUGCAAACUCAAUUUUUUUGGAUUCAUGACUCAAAUGUAUAUAAACGCUCCAAAUUUCAGCCAAAACCGAUGUCAUAUGAGGGAGAUAUGAUUUUUCAAAGAUGACAUCUGAAUUCUGCCAGCAAACAGGUUUCGUGAACAAAACGAGUCCAAAUUACGUUCCGAAGCAUCUAAACCGUGAUGAAGAUAGGAAGUUUUUAGAGAAUUGAGCUAAUUGAUAAACUUCAGAAUAGUAUGUAUUUCGUUAUUUUGAAUAAUACAACUGUUAACAUAUAUAUACACAGGAUUGCAGGUUUGAAUUUAGAAACAAAGCUAAGGUUGCGUCUUAGCAUUUACACUGCAUUUACAGUGAAGAUUUAUUUGUCGUUACAAGCUUGAUAUUAGGCUUGAGUGAUGGUUGCACAAUCCUGUGCAGGGGGCAAGGGAUUAUUUGCUGAAUCUGUGGGGAUUUCCUUUAUACGCUCCCGCAAGAUGGAUGAGCCAUCAGCUAAGCCAAUCUUGAGCAGUAAAGAAUGCAGACGUUGGGAAGACAGAGGCUUUGUUAGAAAAUCUGCCAGUUGGUCAUGAGUGUUGACAUGCUGAACAUUGAGAAUCUUCCUCUGAACCAUAUCACGGACAAAGUGGAGGUCUAUCUGAAUGUGUUUCAUCCGGGAAUGCUGAACUGGAUUGAAGCUGAGGUGUGUAGCGCCCAGGUUGUCACACAGCAGUCUUGGUGGAGAGGGAAUUGGGAGACAGAGUUCUUUGAACAGGGACAUCAACCAAACUGUUUCAGACGUAGUAGUGGCUAGUGAACGAUACUCAGCUUCAGUUGAGGACCUGACGACAGCCCGUUGUUUCUUAGAGCUCCACGAGAUGGGAUUGAUCCCCAGAAAUGUAAUGUAAGCUGAAGUAGAGGUGCGAUCAUCAUAAUUUCCAGCCCAGUCAGCAUUAGCAAAGGUGGUAACAUCAAAUGAAGACUGACGAUUUAUGUGAAUGCCAAGGAAAAUGGUUUUCUUCAGAUAGCGGAGCAAACAUUUGGCAGCAGACCAGUGAGUGACUGUGGGUUGAUGCAUGAAUUGUGACAACUUAUUAACGGCGAAGCAAAUGUCAGGACAAGUAAGGGACAAAUAUUGUAAACCACCGAUGAUACUUCGAAAUUCAGUGCUGUUGCAGGGUGCUGUGCUGUCAAGAAGCUUGAGCUGGACUGACGUGGACAUAGGAGAAGAGACAUCCUUAGCACCCUGCAUGUUGGUUUUGAAGAGAAGGUCCCAUAUGUAUUGAUGUUGCGAUAAGAACAACCCGUUUUUGGUGGGUAUAACAUCCAGCCCCAAAAAAUAAUGAAGUGUGCCCAAAUCUUUUAAUGAGAAUUGGAUGCAAAGUUGAUGAAUCACAUGAGUCAGGAAGGAUGGAGUGUUACCAGUGAUGACUAGAUCAUCCACGUAGACCAGCAGAUAACACAGAACAGCUGCACUGUGAUAGAUGAAUAGAGAAGGAUCGGCUUUGGAGUUGUGGAAUCCCAGUUUCAGAAUGGCCUGUUGUAGAGCAGAAUACCAGGCACGAGGGGCCUGUUUGAGGCCAUAAAUUGCCUUGUUUAACCGACAGACAUGAUGUGGAGUGGUGGUAUCUUGGAACCCUGGUGGCUGUGACAUAUAAACUGUUUCAUGCAGGUUCCCAUGCAGAAAGGCGUUGUUUACAUCUAGUUGCCGCAAUGACCAGCCGUGCAUGACAGCCAUGGUGAGAACUGUUCUUAUGGUGGCAGGUUUCACAACAGGGCUGAACGUUUCACUGUAGUCCAGGCCAGACCGUUGAUGAUAUCCUUUUGCAAUCAAGCGGGCUUUAAACGGAGCUAUGGAACCAUUAGGAUGUUGUUUGACCCAAAAAACCCAUUUGCACCCAACUGGUUGGCAGUCAGGAGGAGGCGGUACCAACUCCCAUGUACCAUGCCUCAUGAGGGUUGUGAGUUCCUCAGACAUUGCUAAUCUCCAGUGUGGCUCACGGAGAGCCUGUCCCACACAAGUUGGCUCUGCAGUACUUGGGAGGGGGUGUUUUGUGGUGGUGUUAACUUGUUUGGGUUUGUAAAUGUUAUUCAUGGAACGGGUGACCAUUAAGUAAGCCCGGUUGGGUGCAGGAUGUGAGGGAUGAGGAGGUGAGGUGGGCGAAACUGCACAAAGAACUGAUGAGGAUGGGUUACAGAGAUCUGGCAGGGGAGAUGAGGCAGGUUGAAAAAUACUGGGGGCAGAACAUGCUGAAGGAGAAGAUGAAGAUGUGAGUUCAUGUUAAGUAAAAGACAGAGUGGGGGAUUCAUUACCUGAGUGAGCAGUGAGAAUGGGUACCCUUGCCGAAGUCACUGGUGGAGGCGUAGGAGGAGAUGAAGAAUUUCCAUGAACAGGGGAGGCACUUGUCGGGCUAGGUGUGAAAAAUUGGCUGGAGGGGAUACCAUUUUCAUUUUCAUGAAAGAUGACAUGGCGUGAUUGAUAUAGGCGGUUUGUCAGGGGAUCAAGACAACUGUAUGCAUUUUGUGUUAAGGAGUAUCCUACGAAAAUACAAGGAAUGGAUUUUGGUUGUAACUUGUUUGUGUUAUAUGGCCGGAUAAGAGGAAAACAAAGACAACCAAAUUUUUUUAGCUUUUUAUAAUUUGGAGAUUGUGUAAAUAAAAUUUCAAACGGUGAUUUAUGUUGGAGGAGAGGUGUGGGCUGAUGGUUAAUAAGGUAUGCAGCGGUGGAAAAGGCAUAGGGCCAAUACUGUAGUGGAAGGGACGCAUCAUGUAGUAAUGUGAGACCGGUUUCAACCAAGUGACGAUGAUGUCGCUCAGAAACACCGUUUUGUUGCGGUGUAUGAGGAGCUGUGGUGUAAUGACUGAUUCCAUUUGUUGUAAAAUAGUGUUUUAAGGCAACAAAUUCACCACCAUUAUCAGAGUAGACAGAUUUAAUUUUUAAUUGAAACCGGUUUUCAACAAGAUUUUUGAACUGGGGAAAGAUGAUGCGAACACUUGAUUUUGUUUCCAUAGGAUAAAACCAAAUGUAUUUCGUGAAAUGAUCAACAAAAAUUAGAUAGUAACGAGCCCCAGUGAUGCCAAUUGUACUUGAGGGACCCCACACAUCAAUAUAAAGUAAGUCAAGAGGAGCAUGACUCAAGAGACUAUUUUGACGAAAUGGUUGACGGUGAGCUUUAUUAAUAGAACAUGAUGAACAAAGAGAAAUAUUUUUUUUGUUGAUUGUUGGAAGGGAAAAAGAGUUGAUAAGGUGAGUAACCAAUUUAGGAGAUGGAUGCCCAAGACGUUUGUGCCAUCCGUCAAUAGAGAUUCUUUCAUGCACGUUAGCAACAAUGGUAGGAGAAGACUGCACCAUUGACUUCGGAAGGGUGUAUACACCAUUGUCACACGCUCCUCGGAACAGAACCGCUCCCGUAAUUUGGUCCUUAACAAGAAAGAAAGAGGGGUGAAGCUCAAUAAAAACAUGAUUUUGACGAGUAAAUUGAUGAGCAGAUAUGAGAUUUUUUUGUAUAUUAGGAACACAAAGGGUAUCAUUUAAAUGAAAGGUACGGUUGGGAGAUUGAAAAAGUAAGGAGCCAAUGUGAGAAACAGGCAAACCUGAACCAUCACCAAUAAUAACUUCGUCAGUGCCAUCGUAUUCUGAAUGAAUAGAUAGAUUAGCAAGAUCACCAGUAAUAUUAUGAGACGCGGCUGAGUCUAUAAGCCAUUUUGUAUCCUGUGCUGGUGAGGUGGAAGUACAGUUUGUUGUUGGUGUGUUGUACUGAAAACGACUGUAGUGUUUUGCAGUAUGACCCAUGCGGUCACACAGUUGGCACUUGGGAGAAAAACGACGUGGUCCAUAAUUUUUGUUGCUGUCUCUCGGGUUGCUAGGCUGGCGAUAGUGAGCUGGAGGUUUGUUUCUUUGGCCAUAUGACCUGUCAACGAAGUGGGGCUUUGGGGCAGAUUUAAAAGACUGAUUGUCUUGACCAUAAGAAGCCCGUCGGUGCAUGUAGUUUGCAGAAGCAAUUAGUGGAUGGGAGGAGACUUCAAGGCGACGAAGAUAUGCAUCAUGACUGACAAGGAGAUCAUGAAGUUCCUCAAAAGUGAGUGGUCGUUCUCGGGCGCGAAUAGGACCUGCAAUUUCACGAAAAUCAGUUCCCAGGCCAUUUAGGAUAUAGAGCGUUAGAUCAUCUUCAAAGAUUGGGUGAUCUAUGAGGGAGAUUUCAUCUGCCAACGAUUUUACAGAGUGAAGGUAUGUUUGAAUUGACUGGUUGCCCUUCUUUAUCAUUGUGAGUUCUUCUUUAAGUUGCAUUGCUCUGGUUCUGGACUUGCUUGCAUACAGAGUAUGUAAUUUAUGCCAUGCAUCCUUUGAUGUCUUGGCCAUUGAAAUGAGAGGAGUGAUGACGGUAGAUGUAGAUGUCAAAAUGGCACUGAGGAUAAGCUUAUCUUGCCUUAUCCAUUGAGUUCGUUGGACAGCACAAAUUGAUGUGCUGGUGGGUAUGGGACAGAUUUUUUCUCCAGUGACAUAGUCAAGAAGAUCAUACCCGAUGAGUAAGGCUUCAAAUUGAGCGCGCCAUUGAAGAAAUGUAGAGGGGGUAAGUUUAUCAUUUAUCUGGGAUGUGAUGUUGAGGGCAAUCAGGGGUGUUUCAGUUGGAGAGGGUGGAGUUGAGAUUGGAUUAUGAUUGUGAGGGAUCAAAUUCUCGUUGGAGAUUUCUUGCUCUGAUACCAUGAUGAAGAUAGGAAGUUUUUAGAGAAUUGAGCUAAUUGAUAAACUUCAGAAUAGUAUGUAUUUCGUUAUUUUGAAUAAUACAACUGUUAACAUAUAUAUACACAGGAUUGCAGGUUUGAAUUUAGAAACAAAGCUAAGGUUGCGUCUUAGCAUUUACAAUGCAUUUACAGUGAAGAUUUAUUUGCCGUUACAAGCUUGAUAUUAGGCUUGAGUGAUGGUUGCACAAUCCUGUGCAGGGGGCAAGGGAUUAUUUGCUGAAUCUGUGGGGAUUUCCUUUAUAAACCGAUAUCCAAGUUUUUAUUUCAGCAAUUUAGCUCCUCUAAGUCAAAGCUUGAAGAUUUCAUGCAAGGCUAUUUCUUCUUUUUUAGGAAAAUAGUUAUUGAAGUACUUAAAUGUAAACAGUCUACUUAAUGGAGGACUAUUUUGUAAAAUAGAGACCUAGGGUUUCCUAAGAUAUAAGCAGAAAAGAGGGAGAGCAGAAGGAGACAGCAGCCAGCAGAGAAUAAACACAAAUUCUCUCCUCUACAAACCCAAAAAUCAUGCUUUUUUCAUUCUUUAGAAGUAGUUGUUCAAUAGUUAUGCAAGACUAAGCUCUUUUCUUGGUUGCAAGGACACAACAAACCUUCGGAUUUCAAGAACCGUGAGAUUUAUUCUUCCUUUUAUUUUCAGUUUAUGUUAUGAAUGAGUAUGAUUGUUUUCCUAUGCAUAUUUCCUAUGAUUGUUAUUGAUGAUUGCUAGAGCGGACUCUAAGUUAUUGUUGUGAACAAUCUAUUGCUAAGUUUAAUAUCAAAACCGGAGUUGUGAUAUAUGAACUUGUGAAGCAACUAAGCUUGAUAAUUGUGGCGGAACUACGUUAUUGAAUUUAGGGAGAACAUUUGAACAAAGUGACACAAGCUGCGGACAGCUUGUAUGUUAAUCUUGAUGAAAUUAUCUAGUUCUUAAAGCUACCAUUAAAUUGAAUCAUUAGUGCGGACACUUUGAUUGUUUGUUGGUUAGGAUUAGUUAUACGGCGGAUCCGUUAAUUAAUCAACGUUAAGAAAAGAUAAAAUUUCAGAACAUAAACUGCAAUUUUCGUUUCAAGGAUCGGUUCUAAUUUCCGUUGGUGGAUGUGUGCUUGCGACCAAGAUUUGUUUUCUUGAUAAGUUUUGGUUUUAAUUGAUUUUGUUUGCUAGUUUAAUUGCUGCCAUAGUUUAGAUAAUCACAAACCAAAUCCCCCCCAAUUACAUAACGUACAACAUAAAAAUCUGACUUGAAACUUCCUCAUGGGAUCGACUCCUUACUUGCUCUAUACUAUCUUGUGUGUUUUAAGCUAGGUAAUUAAUUUGUGCGACCGCGACAUCGCAACACAUAACAUUUCAAUGCGCACCAUAUCACAUAAGGAAAAAGCCCCAAGCUUACCAAAAAAAUAAACAAGGUAAAGAAGAAAAAGGAAACUUACCAGUACAAGGCAUCAAUAUUGUGGUUCAUGCAAGCAAUGCAGCCAUUAUCAAGGAAGUUAUUAGCAACAGAAGCAUCGAGGGCCUGAUGAUAUUGCCUAGUCAAUUCAACCCUUCAUCCUAAUCCAGCACCAAGUGUCUCCAAAAUACAUUGAACAUCCACCUUAACCCCAUCGAUACCAGCUGCUGCCAAAUAACUAUGCAACUCAUUAUAAAACUUGGACACAUUUUUUGGAUUUACUAACCCUAAUCCCUACAACGCCAAUGCAUUGUUUUUCCAUGUGGGCUCAUUCUCCACCACCCCCUUUGACACCAUUGGAUACUUCAUCAUUGACCCAUAUUCCUCCAUCACCUUGACUCCUGGAUAGACCCCACCCCAAUAACCAGUAAUAGCAUGCCACACAUACACAUAUUUCAACCCGUGUUUUUCUUUAGCUGUAUUCACUAUGCUCUUGAUCCCCGCUGCUGGAUCAUCUUUCUUCUGGAACUUUGCGUUCUCUUUAAUCCCAGUCAACCUAAGCAACAGUUGCUGAUCUUAUUUCUUCACAUCUUGACAUUGGUUUCCUCUUCUGGGUCACCACCAACUAAUUGCCAUCCAUCAUCAAUGAUCACAAAUUUCGGCGGGGUACCACCAGAAGCUAGACUUUGUAGCCCAGCUUCUACCCCUUCUUGAGUCACUUCUUGAUAAAAGGCAUCCCAGGUACACCAACCAAAAUGAUCAAUAAUUCCAGGCAAUCCUUUCUCAUGCGUUUUUUCCCUUGACUAGCCGUUCUCCUCUUCUCUAUGCUCUCUACCUUCUCUUUUUUUUUUUUUAUUAUAUCCUAGGAAAUCCUAAUCUCUAUUUUACAAAAUAAUCCUCCCUUAAGUAAACAGUUUUCAUUUAAGUACUUCACUAACUAUUUUCGUAAAGAAGGAGAAAUAGCCUUGCAUGAAAUCUUCAAGCUUUGACUUAGAGGAGCUAAAUUGCUGAAAUAAAAACUUGGAUGUCGGUUUAGAUACUUCGGAACGCAAUUUGGACUCGUUUCUUCACGAAACCUAUUUGUUGGCAGAAUUCAGUUUUCAUCUUUGAAAAUUCAUAUCUCCCUCAUAUGACAUCUGUUUUGGCUAAAAUUUGGAGCAUGGAUAGCUCUUUGAGUCAGGAAUCUAAAACAAUUGAGUGUGCAUCAAUUGGACUUCUGUAGCUCCAGCUACUCAAGUUCGAAUGACUAAAGGUCAACACUGACAGAUUGCGAGAUUUUACUUUGAAGGCUGUGAUUUCCAUGCUCUUCCUUAUUUUAUUUACUUCACUGUAUUAGAAUCACUUCAUUUCGACCUCUAGAGCUCACGCUCUGCACAAAACAUCGACUGAAGGUUAAAUCUGCCAAUUACCUCAAAUUUACUCUUUUUUGCAUUUUUCAUCCAAAAGUGCCUUCAAAACAUAAAACAAAGAAUAUCAAGAUAUUUUAUAUAUAAAACAUAAGCAAAACACUAGUUAAAUGUAGGUGAAACUAUCGAAUAAUAUAGUUGCAUCAAAUACCCCCACAUUUAGCUCUUGUUUGUCCUCGAGAAAGGAUAGAUAAAAUCAAAUUGAAAAUAACUAUGACCAAUCUCUUAAUCUCUCAUCAAUCUCCAAGAAUAUAUGCAUAUAAACUAGAAUACAAUCAAGAAGGAUAGAGAGUAUAGAUUUUCAUGAAUUUAUUUACAUGCAAAUUUCAAAACUCAAUUAAUCGUCAGGAUUUAAAUGAAAUAUAUGUCAUGCCAAAGUGAUAGGUCCUCUCAUUGAUAUACACUCCAACACUCACGUGUUGAGGGCUUAUGUGUUAAAUCUCUCAAAUUCAAUCAAUGAAUAUGUUCUACCAUAAGCUUGCUCUUCAAUCUCAUCUUCAUUGCCAACAUAUUACAAGCAAUGCAUGAAUCAAAAUGUUUUAUUUUCCGGUUGUAAUGGGGUUAAGGUUAAGGUGAGGUAAAAGAGAGUAAAAGAAAACGUUCAAACCAAAAAAAGUAGAGCAUUCUGAAAAAUGAUAUUUCAAACAAGAUAUUCCAUCAAUGCACAUAAAUUUUCCAUCUUUAAUCACCAAUGCUUAACUUCUUUUGAUUUCAAGCUCUUUCAAUAUAAAAUCUUAAGAACAUAAAGGAACACUUUUUUUUCUUUUUCACCUUCGGCAACUUUGCCCAUCUUUUCAUCAAGCAUCACUUCUUCUUUCUUUUCAUAUAAUUUCCAACCAUAAUUCCAUGAGAUAUCACAAGUAUAUGCUCUACUAAUCCUUGGCUAGGGGAAAAGGAAAACAUAUAAAAAGUUAAGGCUUAUACAUGGAUAAAGCAAAGAAAAGAUAAAUAAGCUCAAAAGGGGCUCACUAAGGAUAAUAUGCUUUAGGUUGACUUUUUAGCUCAAGUGGUUAAAAUUCUUAAUGCCUUUAUCAUCUUCAUGUAUAUAUGUAAUGCAAAUGUAAUCUCAACAAGAUAUGAAGCAAGUUCUAAAGAUACACAUCAUUGAAAGAAUGCACAAUCAAAGAAUAUAAUGUUGAAGGCUCAAAAUCUUGCAUUGGAUAACACUAUAAAGUCAACAUGACAUAUUUUCAAAGUCAAUCCCUAAACCAAUUAAACGUUAAAACUUGCAUGCACACUCAUUCAUUCGAUUUAUAUCUUCAUCUAUCUCAAUUAAUUCUCAUAUUCUUAUAAACCAAUGGGAGUUCAAAAAGAUCAAACAUAGAAUUUUUUUUUUUUUUUACGCAACAAAGAAAACCAAAAUUCUCUCAAUACCCCCACACUUUAAACGCAACAUUGUCCUUAAUGUUGAAAUAGAAGAAAAGGAAUAGAAGAGAAUGACAAAAAUAAAGUAAAAUGUGAAAAAUAAAAGAUAAAGGAAAAAGAAAGGAAAUCUGAUUUUUUUUGUUUUUGUGUGCUGGGUUAACUCCCAAUAAGCGUUUUUGCUUUAUGUCAUUGGCUCGACACAUCGCAUGCUCAUGCUUCAUAAAUUGGUUCAGUUAACUCCAUUGAAGCGGUGAUUUCUGUCGUCCAACCUUCAUAAACUCAUAAUUUCAACUGCACCAUAAGGAAAAACAUUAGAAACAAUAAAAGAUCCAAUCCAUCGAGAGCGUAACUUUCUGGGAAGCAUUUUUAAACGCGAAUGAUAAAGUAAUCAUUCGGUCAUGAAGACUUUUGAUCUUUUCUAUGUAAAUCCUUGCAUUCUUGUAAGCAUCAUUCCAUAUCUCUUCCAAUAUAAUUCCAGUCUUUUUGGGCACCAAAAGGAUAGGCGCCACCCAUUUACUAUCCGUGAUGGGAUAAAUGACUCCUGCAUCAUAGAGGAUAGUUUGCAAAACUUGCAAAGCCAAUGCUGAUUCCUGCAUGUUUUGGGGAACACAUAUAUUCCUCUCCAUCUUUUUUAUCUCGGUUAAAUCAUAGUCAUAGCUCAAAGCCACGCUUAAUCCAUCCUCACAAUCGAAAUCAAAAACUUGUUGCACACACUUAUCAACUUGGUCAUAGCAUGUGAUAAAAUAAACAUUGCUAUAAGGAUAUUUCAUUGCAUCAUAAAAAUUAAAUUUAAUAUUUUCAUCUCCUACCUCCAUGGACAAAGUAUCCUUACAUAAUCAAUUUUGGUAUUGGUUGUUUUCAAGAAUGGUCUCCCAAACAAUAUAGGAGUGUUGUUUGAUGAAUCACAAGAAUCACGUUCCAUAUCAAGAAUAUAAAAAUCACAUGGAAUAACCAAACUAUCAAUCUUGAGUAGGACAUCUUCUAUCACACCAAGUGGAUAAACAAAACUACGAUCUGAAAGUUGUAUUACAAUACUAGUUUUAUUCAAAGGUUCAAGACUAAGAGAAUCACAAACAUGUUUAGGUAUAACACUGAUGGAUGCACCUAAAUCGCAUAAGGCCCUUUUAAAACUAGCAUUACCAAUAACACAUGGGAUAGUAAAUGCACCUGAGUCUUUUUGCUUCAAAGGCAUAUUCUUUUGAAUAACAACAAAUACAACUUCACCCGUACUUACCAUUUCAUGGCCUUUUAGCUUGAAGGCUCUCUUGGUAGUACACAACUCCUUCAAGAAUCUGACAUGCUUGGGAAUUUGCUUGAUAACAUCAAUCAAAGGAAUGUUGAGUUCCACUUUCUUCAAAACCUCUAAAAUCUAUUUUUCUUUAUCCUCUUUCUUAGACCUAGAAGAACUCGUAGGAAAGGGAGGAAUUGUUUUAAAACUGGAAUUCAAUGAGGGCUUACCUUUGCAGUGUUGGUCAUUGUUUCAAUUUGUGGAGGAGGAGGAUGUUUCUUCUUUGUACUCAAUUCGGUUUCUAUCUCUUCUUCUUCCUCCAUUUUAAUUUGUUUCGACCUUUGCCUUUCAAGUUCUUUCCCACUUCGCAACAUGAUCACACUAACAUUCUCCUUUGGAUUCAAUGUUUGGGAGGACAAUUUUCCAUUAUUUGUGCUUUCAAUUUCCCUACACUUGAAGCUAUUUGCCCCAUUUGCUUCUCUAAUUUGUGAAUACUUGACCUUAUUUCCUGUUGAAAAGACAUGAUAUUUUGUUGUAAGGUCACUGUGUUAGAAGCCAAAGUUUUCAUCAUCUCACGAAGAUCAUCAUUGGAUGACGACCCCAUAACAUUGGAGUUUGUGAAUGGAGGGGGUUGUCUUGCUUGAUAAUUCUGUUGGGGUUGUCUUGCUUGAUAAUUCUGUUGGGAUUGAAAUCCAUGGGGAUGGAACUGUCGACCUUGACUGCCUUGUUGAGGCGGGUUCCCAUAGUGUAAGUUGGGAUGAUCUCUCCAUCUAGGUUUGUACAUGUUGGAAAAGGGAUCAUAUUACAUUGGGGUUGUCCGUUAAAUGCUCCAUCAACUGCACGAGCCUAUUCAAUAUAAUCUUAUUGCAUUGUUGAGCACAUAUCUGAGGUAUGUCCUUGUAAGGAACAUAUGCUACAAACUUUCACCUGCUGUACAUUUCCACAAGCCAAAGAAUGCAUAAGAAAAGUAAGACCAUUGACUUUAUUUUCAACGUUAGAAAUACUUACCUCAUUUACUCGUUUGUUUGAGAAGUCUCCACGGGUGCCAAAUUGUUUCGAGUUGGCUACCAUGUUUGAGAUCAAUUGGCGUGCAGCCUCGGGUGUCUUAUCUACCUAUGCCCCUCCACUUGCAGCAUCAAUGAUACUACAGUCAGUAAGCAUCAAUUCUUCAUAGAAAUAUUGAAUGAGUAGCUAAUCGGGUAUUUGAUGAUGAGGACAUUGAAUGCAGAGUUGCUCAAAUCUUUCUCAAUAUUUGGAGAGUGUCUCUCAAUGAGAUUGCCGAAUCCCACAUAUUUCUUUUCUUAUGUUGGCAACUCGAGAUGCUGGGAUAUAUUUUUCAAGGAAUAUCUUCUUCAUGCCAUUCCAAGUUCCAAUAGAACCUGGGAGAAUAGAGAAAAGUCAUGCCUUUGCUGCCUCUUUUAAAGAGAAAGGGAAAGCUUUCAACUUAACCUGUUCUUCGUCAACUCCAUUCGGUUUCAUGCCAAUGUAAACUAUAUAGAACUCCUUGAGAUGAGUAUGAGGAUCUUCUCCUACAAGACCAUUGAAUAUUGGUGGCAAAUGUAUAAAACCAGAUUUGUGCUCGAAGUUGACAUUAUUGUCGAUGUUUAUGCACAAUGGUUGAUUUUCCACUUUAGGAGCAGCAAGCUCCUUGAGUGUUUCCUGUUGUGCAACAACCAUGGUGUUGACACGAGCUUCUUUUUGUAACCUGCGUAAAGUGUUUUGAAUUUCAAGAUUUACCUGCACUUGUCUUUGGUUAGUAGAACAGGUUACAAGCAUAAAUCGUAAAGAAAACUCAAAAGAAAGCGGCCACACAAGAGAUUGAAACAAUGUAAUUUGAACAAAAAUCCUAUGCUAGAAAACUAAAACUACCUAAAAAGCCUAGAAAACAACAGAAUUUGGCCUCGAUAGGGUGGAGCUAGUGGCUAAAAGCCACUAGUCCUGUUCAAAAUGUUGUUUUUCUUUAGGAAACAAAAGGCUAGGUCCUAAUUCCACUAAAAAAAUUGUUUUGAAUAGUACCGCUGCCGUAAAUGAACAAUACCGCAGCAAGCAAAAAUUCUGUUUCUCUUUUUUUUUUCUCUAAAAAAUAAAUAACAAUCACAACAAAUAAAAAUAAUAGCACAAGAAUCAACUAAAAUUACUUCCCCGACAACAGCACCAAAAUUUGUUGCGAUGUUGCAGUUGCACAAAUUAAUUACACUAGCUUAAAACACAACACACAAGAUAGUAUAGAGCAAGCAAGGGGUCGAUCCCAUGAGGAAGGUUCAAGUCAGAGUUUUAUGCUAUAUGAUAUGCAAUUUGGGGGGGGCGGGGGUUGAAAGUUAUCUAGGCUAAAGCAAAAGAAAACAAAAAUCUAUCAAGCGAAAAUUAAAUAAAAUCGAAUGUUCUCCCUAAGAUUACUAAUUUGGAUCCGCCACAAUUAUUAAUCUCAGUUGCUUCACAAGUAUUUAUACGACAACUCCAGUUUUGAUAGCAAACUUAGCAAUAGAUUAUUCACAAUAAUAACUUAGACCCCGCUCUAGCAAUUAAAAUAAACAAUCAUAGGAAAUAAGCAUAGGAGAAACAAACAUAUUCAUUCAUCAUAGACACUGAAAAGAAAAGGUAAAAUAGAUCUCACAGUUCUUGAAAUCUAAAGGUUUCUGUGUCCUUGCAACCAAGAAAAGAGUUUAGUCUUGUAUGUCUAUUAAACAAUUAAUCAAAAAGAAGAAAGAAAACAUGAAUUCGGAUUUGUUAGAGGAAGGGGGUGUUUUUCUCUCUUCUGGCCAUCUCCUCUUCUCCCUUCUCUCUUUCUUUUUAUAUCCUAGGAAACCCUAGUCUCUAUUUUACAAAAUAGUCCUCCCUUAAGUAGACAGUUUACUUUUAAGUACUUCACUAACUAUUUUCCUAAAAUAGAAGAAAUUACCUCACAUGAAAUGUUCAAGCUUUGACUUAGAGGAGCUAAAUUGCUGAAAUAAAAACUUGGAUGUCGGUUUAGAUGCUUCGGAACGCAAUUUGGAAUCGUUUAUUCACGAAACCUAUUUGUUAGCAGAAUUCAGUUUUCAUCUUUGAAAAUUCAUAUCUCCCUCAUAUGAUAUUAUUUUUGGCUGAAAUUUGGAGCGUGGAUAGCUAUUUGCAUCAGGAAUCCAAAACAAUUAAGUUUGCAUCAAUUGAACUUUUGUAGCUACACCUACUCAAGUUGGAAUGGCCAAAGGUCAAUAUUGACAGAUUGCGAGAUUUGACUUUGAAGGCUGUGAUUUCCAUGCUCUUCAUUAUUUUAUUUUCUUGCCUUAGAUGUCCAGAAAGGUAUGGAUGUUAGCUUUUUAAUGCCACUGGAAUCACUUUAUUUCAACCUCUAGAGCUCACGCUCUGUACAAAACAUCAACUGAAGGUCAAAUCUGCCAAUUACCUUCAAUUUACUCCUUUUUGCAUCUUUCAUCCAAAAGUACCUUCAAAACAUAAAACAAAUAAUAUCAAGAUAUUUUAUAUAUAAAACAUAGGAAAAACACUAGUUAAAUAUAGGUGAAACUAUCGAAUAAGAUGGUCAAAUCAGCACACAUCACUUAAAGUGUGCAAAGUGGCAUCACAUGUCGGCGCGUGCAUCACCAACAACUUUUCUUUUAAAAUAUUAUUUAGUCUUUUGAAAAUACAAAAUUGCACUUGACUUGACUUGAUAAUCACAAAAAAACCACAAUGAAAAGAUAAAUAAGCCCUUAGAUCCAGUUUAAAAAACUCUAAUUCCAAUGGUAACUAAUUAAAUUCAUCUUGCAUUUUUAAGCAAAAAGAUGAAUUUGCCCCUAAAUCUAAGUUAGAUUUAUUUUGAUUUCAAGGAUAUUCUAGUCAUUACAUUGUAUAAAAAAGAGUAAAAAGUAAUUCUUUAAUCUCAAUCAAUAUAAUAAUGAUUGAUUGGUCCUAAUGAAAUUAUUUUAAGGUUAAUAAAGUAAUUACACUAUUCUUGUACACAAUGCAUUAAGUCUAGGUGCGUAGUGAAUUCACUACCCCAAUUAGUUUUUUUAUUUAUUUAAUUGGAAUCAUUAAGUUUAAAUUGAAUGAUCAUGAUCUAGUUUAUGAUAAUAAUAAUAAUAAUAAUAAUAAUUUAACUUUUAAAUAUUUUAUUUAUCUCAUUUAAUUCAUCAAUGAAUUAAAAAAAUGGCACACUUGAAAUAUGACUGAUUAUAUUUUAAGAAUACGAGAGGAUUGAAAUUCAUAUUGUGAGACAUGAAAUUAUAUAAUUUAAGUCUUAACAAACAUUCCAAUGCACAAAGUAAUAGUGAUAAUAAUUACAUUUAUUAAAAUACUAUUAUGAUUUUCAAAAAUAGUUUUUUUUUAUUAACGUAGGUGUCUAGGCCAGGUUGCACGCACCUCAACUAAUCCCUCAAGCCCUGAAGUUAACGACCAUAUAAAUCUCUAGUGGUCUUGAGAGGACUUGAACUCGUGAUCAUUGGAGAUAUGUCCAUAUGUUUUUAAUUGUAUCUAUUAUGUCCCUUAUAUAAUAUGUAAUUCUCUAAUAUAUAUUUUUAGUUGAGUUGUUUUUUAAAAAAACAUUAUGCAUUAAUUAAGGAUUUCUUAAUUUAUUAAUUUUUUUCUUAAGUAAUUUUUUUUAAAAUAUUAAUUAGAAAACUAAUAUACUCAUCAAAACAAUAAUUAGUAAUACCAGAUUGUAUUGUUUCUUGCAUUAUAUAGUAUACUGAUAAUGAAAUUUUUUUUAUUAGCUCACUUUUAAAUUAUCCUAAAGCAACUCCAAUAUGAAAACAAAUGAUGAGUAUUAAUAAAUAAUACAAUAGAGUAGCGUAAUUAUAGUGGUAGAGAUAAUAACAAUAACUUUGUUUUCUAAAAAAAGUGUAAUUAUAGUGUCAUUAUAUUAAAAUAUCGUAAUAAUCAGAGGUUCUUUUCAUUCUUCAUACUUAGUAAAAAUAAUUUUUUAAAAAAACAAUUAUCUUAUAAUAAUUUUUGUACAUUAAAUUAAUUUUUUUAAAAAAAUUUGACUUAUUUUUAGCAAAAUUAUAAAUCAUGAUUUUAAGUCAAAAUAUUCACAAAUAUGUUAUUAAGUUACGUUGUAACAUAUCAAGAUUGAGUUCUUUCUGCUAGAUGAACUCAUAAGUUUCUCCACGAAGAUAUAACGAGAAAGCAUAGGUCAAAGUUUUAAGUGACAUUAACAAAUACAAGUUAUUGACCAGGUCAACUCUCUUUUUGUUUUUUGUUUUUUUUUUUGAAGAGAUUUCUUGAAAAGAAAAUUAGUUUUUUUUAAAAAAAUAUUACUUAAUUAAACAUAAUAAACACCAAUAAAAAAAAUAUUAUCUUACAUUAUAAGAAUUAAUUAAUUAAUUUAUAUAAAUUAGAAAUACUAAGUUAUAAUAAAUUAGAUCCAACCGUAAUUGGAUUGAAAAGAAUCACAAUGAUAAUAAUAAUAAAAAAGAGAAAAUAUCCAAAAAAAAUAGUAUUUAACAGCAACAUGGAUCCUAAAGGCUAAAGUCCAUAUAUAUACACACACACUCAUAAGAAGAAGAAAAAAGAAAGAAGCUAUCGUGCUUUCCUAUCUCCUUAAAAAUUUCAAAUCCUUAAACAAAAUGUUUCCCUUUUAGGUCUAAUUAUGGUGUUGGGUUUGCUUCCAAGCCCAAAAUCGAUCUCUCUCUAGUUUAAUCAUAGAAAAAUCAUAACACCCUUGAUAUCAGGAUGAUUUCAAGAAACUAAGGUUAAAAACCUAAAAUAUCCCUUGACUUUAGACAAAACAAUUAACCCCUAGGGUUAUAUGGUAAUUAUACUGUAUAAAAAAGUGAAAAUCUAAAAAUAUCCCUUAAACAUUAACUAUGUUUUUUUUUUCAAGGGCAUGAGAAUAAUUAUAUAGUGUUCAAAAUACAAUUUUAGAUCUCAGCAUGUGUUUUUUUUUUUGUCACUAUAUAUAACUUAUCAUUAUUAUAUUAUGCACAAUCUAUAAUAAAAUAUUGAUAAAUUUUAUUUUUAUUUUUAAUUUAAAAAUUGACCGAAGCAUCCUGAUCUUUUUUUUUUUUUUAGUUUAACGUGGGUGUCCGGGCCAGCUUGCGCGCACCUCGACUAAUCCCACUGGCCCUGAAGUUAACGACCAUGUAAGCCUCCAGUGGCCAUCAUAUGAGCAACCACAGGGCUUGAACCUGAGACCACAGAGGGAGCAAACCUCUUGGUCCCAAACUCUUACCACUAGGCUACCACCUAGAUGGUUAGCAUCCUGAUCUUUAAAAGAUAUGCUCGGACAUUCUUGCCAACACCUAUUUCAUAUUAAUGGAAAAGGGCCCAUCUAAUGAGAUAAUGACAGAAGCAAAGAUCCCAUUAAGUGGAUUCAAAGUGGCAUAAACUCACCUAUAUCGGUCAUAGACCUUUGGCAACCCAUCGCACCCUCGUCACGGCGUUAACAUCCGUCUUGGACUGAGGGGCGCGAAAUCGGGCCUACUUUUUUUUUUAAGAGCAAGUCUCGCCCUGCCUAUCCCCUAAAAACUAAUUUACUGAAGUAAGGUCCGCCCUUUACCUUUAGGUCAGAAUGCCGCUAUCGCUACUUUUUUUACUCUUUAAAAAAGAGUUCCGUGACUUAUGUGUAGCCUAUAUGGCGAACAAAGAAAAAAAAGCUCAAACAAAGCAAAGGGGCGCUCAUACACUCUCCGUUCUGUAGUGCCCCUAGCGCAGCGCUCAAACAAGCCCUCUGAUCCUGAGGUGAGGGUGCGAUGCCUAUCGAAAUCACAAAAGGUGUAAAAUCGAAUCCGCGUUAAAUGAAAAAUGUCUUGGCAUUGGCUGAUUCCGUUAACCUUCCCCGAUUGACAGAACAUCCAGCUACUGAUACUUGAAAAAGCAGCUUAGCUUUUAAGGUCUCAUUGCUUCAGUGAAUCACUUGAGCCCUGGUACAUUUUCGGUGCCAUGGAGCUGGACCACUGAGCUAUUACGCUUUCUUCAAAGGAUGAGUGUAUAGGACGUAUGAGGAGUCUCGCUCUGUAGCCUAGUUAAUCUCUACCAUUGGGCCUAUACCGCCAAAGCCCAAUACUGCAGAGGAAAUUAAGUGAAGUAGUCGACAAAGAAAAGAAGAUUAACAACACCUUAUGGAGAUGGCUUGCCGUAUUUCUAUCUCGGCCCCAAAAAAGUAGUUAACCUACGAUUGACCUUUAUAUCGUCUACCUCCAUCUCGCAUGAGAAAUCGAAUUCGGGGUGAUCAAAACUAUCCAACGGACUUAGCUCUAUGUCUGAGUUUAGGUUUUUCUCUUUUUUAGCUGCAUGCUCUUGAAUUAGUGAUUCUUAGCCCUCCUAGCAGACAAAAUCAAAACACCGAUAGCAGGAAGCACCUUUCUUGAAAAUUGAGGUAACAUUAACGAUCCUCUUCUUAAAUUAAACAAGCCAGCAGACAGAAUCGCAAGUCGUUGUCUCACCAUUCCUACUAAGUUUGUGGGUUUCCUGCUUUCUUCGCUUCUAAAUUGCAUUAUACAUUACAUAUUUUAAUCCUUUACACCAAUUACAUAAAACAUUCCUUUCAUAGGUAUCUCAAAUUUAAAGGCGAUCCUCUUUUGGAUCCUUUCUAAAAGUGUAUUUCAAUUCUUGCUCAUUCAAAGAUAUUGCUUAUUCAAUUCUUAACAUGGGUUUGUUCUUGUUCAAUUAGAGAUAUGAAUUUAGUCCCUCGCUCUCUUUCUCCAUUUAAAAUCUUGAAAUUGAACUCAAUAGUUACUUAGGUUCUUAUUUUUCUUGUUGAUGUUGUUUUGUUGUUCCAAAGGGUUAGAUAAGAUAAAUAAAAAAGAAAAAGAAACAGAAGUUAGAUAAGAGAAAAGUGAAAAGAAAAUCAAAUAAAAUAAAAUUUAUACAAUAAUUUACCUCCCCGGCAACGGCGCCAAAAACUUAACACGAUCAAAGAGUUGAUGUCUUAUCCCAAGUGCAGGAGUAUCAAUGUAAUAAAUAACCCGGCAAGACCGGGCUCGAUCCACAGGGAUAUCAACUGUAUAAAUUAUAAAUAAUAUAUAUAAUUUAACAAAGAGUUAAAGAGAUCUUUGAGAUGUGAGAUUAAUGUGAGGAUUAAACAAUGAUAAAAACAAUUGUCAAGGUUAAAGGAUCCACUAAUGGUAUUAGAAAUAAAUAUAGUAUAAACUCUUUUUAUUACUCAACUGGAAACCAUACACAAAGAAGGUUCCAAUCGGAUGAUUUAUCCUUAAUAGUUCAUUAUAAAUUUUUAACAUGAUCAUAUUAAUUAUCUUAUUUUAGUAACACCAUACUUUUAAAUAUUAUCAGGAAUUCUUGAUGUUAACUUAUGUUAACAACAAAUCAAGUUCCUCUCAUAACAACAAUGUCGGCCGAAGACUAUGAAGGAUCAAGCAUUUAUUGUACCAAGUGUUAUACAAGACAAAUCUAGAUUAAUUAUUUAACAAGUAAGGUAUUAAGAAUUAGUAAGAUAAAAAGAUAAUACAUAUUAAUAACAAACUUUCUUGGAUAUAAACAUUGAAGUUCAUGUUGAGUUUAUAUUAUACAUAUUCUAACAUCAUUAGUAAAACAUUUUCACCUUGACAAAUUAAACUUAGCUAAACAUUAUGAAGAAGAGAAACAUAAAUAAACAAGUUAAGAACAUAGUUAUGAUACAAGUUAACUAAGUAUAGGAAAGGAAAUGAAAAGCAUAGACAAGAGAUUAAUAUAACAUGAAAGAAAACUUCAACAUUACAAAGAGAGAAAGAAAGAAAAUGAUCUUGAUAUGAACACCAAGAUGCCUAAAUGUAUGACAAAUACCUCUUUUUAUAGGCCAAAAAAAAUUAUUCAUUUGGUAAUUAACUAUUGAAUUAGUGGCCAACUAAUGACUUAGUGGACUUGGUGGUUUAGGUAUGGAUUUGUUUUCUGGACGAAAUGACAUUUCCACAAUCCAAAUUUGGCAAAGUGGUUUCAUACAAGUUGUAGGUAUCUGUAUUAGCUUUCCACCAAGAAGAAUGAUCUCAUUUGGACUUCUAGAACCUGAGAUAUGAACUAAAUAGUGUCUGGGCUGCAGGGCAGAUUCGGACUUCUCUUUUGAUGCUACGAUUUGGACUCCAAAACAGAAAAAUUGAGUCUUAGACUCUUCAUGAAUGUUUUAGGUCUAUGUCUUAGCUUUCUAUCCAUAUAAACCAAACUGAAAUCCAAGAUCUACAUCUCCAGAUAUGACCCAAUGAUUAAAUGGUGUUCUAGUUUGAAUUGAACUAGCAUCUCUUUUCUAAACUUAGCCCUUCUUUGUCCUUUCACUUUCAAUAGUUAAUCACAUCAAACAAUCCUUUGAAUUAUGAGAUAUACCUGCAUUUAAAAUGAGCAUUUACCAUAAAUUAAAGCUAUCUUAUCUUAUCAGACUUGUUAUUAUAAAACAUGCUUAAGUUAGGGAAUUUAAUGAUACUUUAAGUGCAAUAUGAUGAUAUAAAUCCUUAAUGAGAAUGCACUUUUAAGUACUAAUCACUCACCGACUUGAUUUUUUUAUUUUCAUUGAAGCAAAUAAUGUCCUUGCUAGAAUCCAGUUGUCGUUGUGAGUUUUUCUUCAGUUUAAAAAUUGUUGCCCUGGUUAUAUUUUAUAAAGCCCGUUUAUGAUAAUGGACAAGUCCCAUCUGGGCUGGAUAGUUUUUGGAUCAUGUUGCUUUCUCAGCAGAUUUCUUAAGACAUAUGUAAGCAAGAGCUUGUUUAAUCUUACCAUGCUCAUAGUGAAUUUAGAUGAUUGUCUCCUUAAAAGUAAAUCAAGGAUUUUUUUAAUUCAAUUUCUAAUGCAAAUUUUGCUAACAACCAUGCAAUCAAUUAUAGGUCACAUGAUUAGCACUUCUUCUUUAUCACAAAGGCUAGGAGGCCUGUAAUGCCUUUACUGUCUUUAUGAGACUCAACCAUUCAAGCCUCCUUUCAAAAUCUACUUCUCUCUUAGUAUAUUUGCAUUUUCUGCAUGAACUUUAUCUUUAAUGUACUUAAUUUUGAGGUUUAGUUCAUUUUGAUGAGGUUGUACUAUGUGUCAUGCCAUAUUAUGAACUUUUUUCUCUAAUUUUCCUUGUUGCUUAUCUGAAUGGCAGGUGAUGUGAAAAUUACCUUUCAAAAUAAUUCUUUUAUUCUUCUUACUAUAAUUAAUUGAUUAUAUAUUAUUGUGUGAUAUUUGGUUGUUUUGAAUGAUUCUGGUAGAAUAAUAUUUAAUUAAAAUUGAAAGUUACCCCAGACAAACUACUUCUACAAGGUCUUAUUCUUACUCAUCAUUAUUGGUGUCAUGAAUCAUCUUUUCCAUUCCUUUCUUUAUGGGGCACUCUUGUAUUCAACCAUGAACAAACAUGGUUUUUACACUAUAUUGUCAGUGUCCUAGUGAUUAAUUUCUUUUAUUGGUUGGACUUUUUGGUUUAAAGUGAACAUGGUUAAGGGUUUUUCUUUGUGUUAACUCUCUCAUAUUUAAAAGCAUUUUAUUGCUCUUAUUCAUGCUUGAUCAUGUUGAGGUGAAUUUAGUGAUGAUAGUAAUAAUGAAGUUAUGAUUAACUGAAGUUUUGUUUUUCCUUUUCUUUUUUACCAUCUUAUUUCUUCUUGUUAUCUGACAGGAGAGUUAAAGAAACUCAAGACACUUGUUAUAAAUGCAAAAAAACAUGGAAUAAAAGUAGUACCUGCAUUGGUCAAAAGGAUGCUAGAAAAGAAUUGCAAGAUGCCCAUGUGCAAGUUGCACAUGGAAUAAAACUCAAGACACUUGUUUCUCUUUGGGUUUGUGGACUUGUAUAAAGGUUCUGUCAGUGAGACAGUGAAACAACUCACAGAAUUGCAAGAUGCCCAUGUGCAAGUUGCAUAUAAGAAGUAUGUUUCCUAAAAAUGAUAUAAUUUAUUCCAACCUAAUAGCAUGAUUAGUCAGGUUUCAGGUUUCAAAAUAUUUUAUGGAUCCUCUUAUUGCUCCACUGCUUUCUUUAUAACAGGUUAUUUGAUGAUACUCGGAUUGAGCAGUUCUUCCAUAUGGACAUGGUAUGUUGCAUAACUCCUCAUGUGAAGGUUUUACUCGGGUUCUAUUACUUUAGUAGUUGCAAAUAGGACCUGCCUUCUUUUCAUGUUUUGAAAAUAGUUUCUUAUAGGUAUAAUGAUUUUACGAUGCUCACAGUUGGUGCCAUAGUCUUUCUCUCUUCUUCUUUUUUCUUCUGAAUAAGCUUGUGGAUUGAACUGCAUGUGCAGGGUAUGGAAUUUGAUUUAGACAUGCUCAAGAAAAUGUCAACAGAAUAUGUAGAGGCGAAGAAACAUGGCAUCAUAGGUGAUUAGUACUUAAAAGUGCAUUUUCAUUAAGGUUUUAUAUAAUCAUAUUGCACUUAAGGUAUCAUUAAAUUCCCUAACUUGAGCAUGUUUUAUAAUAACAAGUCAGAUACAUAAGAUAUCUUUAAUUUAUGGUAAAUAUUCAUUUUGAAUGCAGACAUAUCUCACAAUUUAAAGGAUUGAUUGAUGUGUUUAAUUAUUGAAAGUGAAAAGACAAAGAGAAGGCUAAGCUUAAAGAAGAGAUGUUGGUUCAAUUCAAACUGGAACAUCAUUUGGUUAUUGGAUCAUAACUGGAGUUGUAGAAUAUGGAUUUAGGUUUGGUUUAUAUGGAUGGAAAGCUAAGACAUAGGCCUAAAACUUUCAUGAAGAGUCCAAGAUUCAAAACGGUCGUUUUCAAGUUCAAAUAGUAGCAACAAAAGAGAAUUCAGAAUCUGUCCUGCAGCCCAGACACUCUUCAGUGUUCAGCCCAUAUCUCGAGUUCUAAAAGUUCAAAUGAGCUCAUUCUUGUUUUGUUGGAAAGCUGAGACAAAUGCCCAGAACUUUCAUGAGAUUAUCUGUUCAAAUUAUGAUGUUAGCAAUGAUGUUUUGUUCAGACAAUAAGAUAAUGGUUGUUACCAAGUCAAGAAGUGGUCACCCACUCAAUAAUUAGUCAUCAAAUCAAUAGUUCCAAAUUUUAGCCUAUAAAAGGAGGAUUUUGCCAUAUAUUUAGACAUCUUGGUGUUCAGAUCAAGAUCACUCUCUCUCUCUUUGUAUUUUGUAAUGUUCAAGUUUUAUUUUAAGUUAUAUUAAUCUCUUGUUUAUGUUUUUCAUUCCUUUACUAUACUUAGUUAACUUAUAUCAUGUUUAUGUUCUUAUAUUGUUUAUUUAUGUUUUUCUUCUUCAUUAUGUUUAGCUAAGUUAAUUUUGUCAAUGUGAGAAGGGUACACUAAUAGUGUAAGAAUAAGUAUAAUAUAAACUCAACAUGAACUUUAAUGUUUGAUACUAACAUGUUUUGUAUUUGUUAUCUUACUCACUCUUAAUACCUUGCUUGUUAAAUGGUUAAUCUAGAUUUAUGUUGUACAACCCUUGGUACAACAAAUACUUGGCACUUUCAUAGCCUAUAUAUGGUAUAACCGACACUUGUGCUAUGAAAGGAACUUGAUUUGUUGUUAACAUAAGUUAUCACCAUGAAUACCUGACCACAUUUACAAGUAUUGGUAUUACUCAAAUAAGAUAAUUAAUAUAAUCAUGUUAAUAAUUUAUAAUCCGAUUGGAACCUCCUUUGUGUGUGGUUUUCAGUUGAGUAAUAAAAAGAGUUUAUACUAUACUUAUUUGAAAUACCAUUAGUGGAUCCUCUAACCUUGACAAUUAUUUUAUCCUUGUUUAAUCCUUACAUCAAUAUCACAUCUCAAAAGUUCUCUUCAACUCCUUUUCAUUUGUUGUUUAUAAUUUUAUAUAAUUCACCUCCCUAUGUUCAACCCCAGUUUUGUCGAGUUAUUUAUUACUUCGAUACUCCUGCACUUGGGAUAAGACAUCAAUCUUUUGAUCGUGUCAAGAGAUAUGUUCUUUUAUCUGUCUCAUAUCCUUAUUUAUAGGUUAGAGAUUGAAUAAGCAUCAAAUCGUGAAAGUAACAUGUGUAUUCUUCCUCAAUAACUUGUAUCUGUAUUGCCUAGCAGAGCUAGUGAUUUUAGUUGUUACCAAAUGCAAAACUAGUUUAUCAAUUCACUUUUUUUUAACACUAAGAAGCUACAUUUACUUGUCAGUGAUUUUUUGAAUUUAUCUAAUUAUUGAUUUUUUUGUUAUACUCUCCAAUUUUUUCUAAGAUAAAUGGCCGGGGUGGUAGAGUUUUUCUAAAUAUAUUUGAUUGCCUAGUUAUUUCCUUAACAGUUUGUGUUUAUUCUUACUAUUGAUUUGUUACUCAACCUAAAAAUUUCUCUGUGAUUUCUUAUCUAUAUCAUUUAUGGAGUUGUAUAAAUUUUGAAGCACAUAUCAUUUAUAGUUUAAAUUUCCAUUUCAAAAUUCAUUCAGUAUCUAAUAACGUAAUUUAUUUACCACACUUCUACUUGUUUUUGUGUUUUUUCAACAAAAGCAAUCAAGGUAGUAGAUGUCCAAAACAUACAGCAUAUAUCAGAUGAUAGGGAAUUUAUUGGAGAUGAAGUUGAGAUGAUCACAGAGAAUUGAAAUGUCUAAAGGCAAGUGUUUUACCAGCAAAUAGGACUAAAUCAAACCCAUGCUCAAAACGAUGAACAACAACAUCAACCACAACACAAAAAACAUGAACAACAAGAUGAUGAUUUUGGUGAUGAAUUUAGUCAUCAACUGGAACUGCAACUAAUUGAAGAAGAACAGCUACAACAAAAACAAGAGGAUCAUGAAUUGGAGCUGUAACUUUCUAUAAAACAACCCUAAUAAUGUAGCAACAAAAUGGUGAGGAAUUAUGUUACAAAAACUAGGACAAGUAGGAAUCCUAUGGUUUAGGACAUAAUUAUCUAGCAAGGUGAUCAUUCCAAUCGAGGAUGCUGCGGAAUUUUGUGAUUAGACUGCUGCAAUUCUAACCUCCAUUUAAGACCAUCCCAGAACCUUUUCAGUUUAUGAAAGAGAAAGCUGUUGGGUUUUCUGGAUAGGUUUUUCAAGUUACUGAAUUUAUUAUCAAAACACAAAAAAGAUAUCUCUGUAAAACAUUUGUCAAUAUAUGUUCAGAAUGGCAUCUUGAAACAGUUGGAUAAUUUUUACUGUUCUUCUUUGCCAUUGGUCUGCAUCCUCAUGAAGUCUAUAAACCUAGCUUUUCCAGUUCCAUUAGGCCCUUUGUCCCACCCUCUUAGCACCAAGAAGAUUGUUUUCCUGCUAAUAAAAGUUCAUAUUGGUUUUCUCUCGUUUAUUUUAGUCCACUGGAUUCAAGUUACUGUGUCACAAUCAUCUUUGGAUUAUUCAAUGUGUUUCAUUAUCAAUACCUCGUGAAUCAUGUUUCACUGAAGGAAGCAAUUGAAGUGUAUUUCUUUUUCUUUUAUGGUUUCAGCUGUUCUCAUUUAUGUUUAAUUAAUGAAAGGAGGAAACAUUAGUUUCUUCUUGAUCAUCACCAUUUUCAAUGAUUCAAAUUAUAUGAAAUGGCAUGGAGAUGGAUUUUUGCAAGAGUAAGUUAUUUGAGCUUAGCCUAGAACAGAGUAUUGAUUAAACAGGUAGAUAGCAAAAUUCUUAUUUGACCAUUCCCCCUCAAUUCCUCACAUGAUUACAUGAACUAGUAAACUACAGAGGGAAGAAAAUUUGAGGGGAAACAUGCAAGUACAAUAAAUACCCCAAUACCCAAACCUUCCAUAUAGCCCUUAACUCUAUUCAAACAGAAUUUUCCUAUGACUCAAUCUCAACAAUAUGAAGUUUGCCCUCCUCAGACAAGCUAUCCAAGCUAAAACCAACCAACCCAGAAUUCAAAUUAUACACAAAAUCAACCACAUUUGAGUCCACAAUGCACUUCCUUGGCUUAGCAAAUAAAUAAACAUCAAACUUGCCACACCUUUUAACCUCUAUGCAAACUUUCGCAACCAAUUCAUUGCUAUAGUUCCCCACCCUCUCUUCAGUCACACCACUACUUUCACCCCUGUAUCCAUCAUCAAGCUCUAAUAAUUCAGCACCACCUUUCACUUCAAACUUUAGCCCCUUAAUGGCUCCACCUACAUUGAACAUGUUAAUUAGCCCCAGGGGUACAAAGCUGAACCCAGGUGCUAAAACCUUGAUUGGGUGUUACAGUGAAAAUGUCAUGCUCAAGGACUUUGAGUGACACUGACAAUGCUGCAUUGUAAGGGAGGGUGAUUAGUUCUCCUGUCCGGUGAUAAUAGAAAGCACAAUUAUCAUCCCAGUUAGGGUCCGUGGCAACUUCAGUGAUGAGGUGAACAUCACGACCCCUAAUAGUGCCUGUUAGGGCCUCAAAUGUGGUUUGGUGGAAAGCGUUCUUUCUUUCAGUGCUGCUCCUUGGUAAUUGUAGACACCUAGGACCCCUGUGAACUUGUUCAUGCUAUAUAUUUUCCAUUGGUUGCAAUCAAAGAAAAACUGUUUAAGAAAUUCCUCAUAAUGCAACAUUUCUAGGAUAAGAAAUUAGCUAAAAUUCUUUGUUGUGGUUUAUUGUCUCUAUGAGAUUAGGAUCCUUCUUUCUUGGAUUUCUUAAUGCCAAAAAACAGCUUUAAUUAUUACCAACGGUAUAGAUAAGACCUUAUUAAGAUUCUAACGGUAAAUUUAUAUGCCACGUCGAAUCCACAAAAUACUAGUCCUUUUACUCGGUUAUAAGAACAUUGACUAUCAUUCCUUCACAGCAAGGUUCAUGUUUUUUCUAUGAAUUUAUGGCUCUUAGCUUGACGUGUAAUGUUUUGAGCAUGUACAGGUGGUGGUUAGGGUUUGGGUGCAUGGAGAAUACAAUGUAUCGUGUGUGGGUUGAUUUUUGUUUCUUUUAGUGCACCAAAACCAUUAUUAGUGCUGAUAUGUGUACAUGUACUCGCUUUUUGGCGUCUCUUUCUUGAAAGGAACAAUGAACCCCAUUUUUGUAAAAAAUCUAUCCUUCAAAUUCAGGACUGGAAAGCUGAAGCAUAUGCGGGCUGAAACACUGUAGCCCAAUCAUAGCAGGGCUUUAUUGUUCAGACAUUGAUACCAUAACCAAAUCAUUACUCAGAUCCAAGUUGGUCCAUGUCUAAGAGAGAUUGGAUCGCAUCAAGAAACAAAACCAUGGUUGUGAAACAAAUCAGGUUGCUUCUAACAACAAAAACUCUUACAGGAAAAAUAAAAAAACUUUUACUUCAGUUUGUUUAUUUUUCUCUUCUAAUAAAUAUGUUUUCUUGCUCAUCCAAGACAGGGAGCAUGAUAACUGAUCUAUGAGACACAUUAUAAGAUUUUGAUCCAAUAAUUCACGUAAAAUUUAUUUUUUCUUAAUGAUUAAUAUUUUUUAAUGUAAAAUUUAUAGAUAAGUAAUAGAAACUGAAUGUGUGAUGGAGCCAAUAUUCUAUGAGAGAAAAAAAUUAUGUUGGUUGUUGUAACCCAAUUUUGGCCCAUUGGCUUUUUAACUUAAUUUUACAGGGUUUAAAAUGUAAAAUUAAAAGAUCGGAGAUUUAUUUCAAUGAAAAGUGUGAUUUGUCAACUUGCGUGAAAACUAGGGACUACAAUAUGCUUUUGUCAUUUUAACCUUAUCUUCAAGAUAAUCUUUGUCUUCAAGAUAAUGAUAGUUAUCCGCUUUCAAAUUUGAUUCUUAAUCAAAUUCAAACUUCAAAGAAGAGAAUAAGUUUGAUUGAAACUUUGUUUCUCACACGCAAAGGAACUCUAACACUAUAAAUACAGAUCUCAGUGUAUGUACAAAAAGGAGGAGGAUAUAGAAAAAACAAAGGAAACCCUAGAGGGGGGAUAAACACAAAAAACCCCAAGAGGAGGUCAUUACAAGAAAAGCCUAAAAGAAAAAAAAGAAACAACUCGAAAGGGAGGGGGGGCUGGCAUUCCACUCUCUACUCUCUACCGCCACCCCCCCUUCAUCGAUUUUCUUUCUUCCUCUUCUUCCCCAGUCACUAAGAACAAACAAAGCAAGCCCUCCAUUGCUUUUCUUUUCCUCUCCCUCAAGACCAACCAAACCGGCAACAACAGCAGCCCCUCUUAGUAGCAGCAGUAAGGCUUGGUUACUUACAAUCACGGGAACGGUGGAGUCUUUAUCAUCCCGGAUGAAAACAGCAGCUCCCUUACUGUCAUGGCACCAUUACCAGCUCCAGCAGUAGUCCAACAACAUCCAGCAAACAACAUUGCGCGCCUCUUCCAGCAAACAACAUUCCAGCUCCAUCAACAUCCAGCAAACAACAUUGCGCGCCUCUUCCAGCAAACAGCAUUGCAGCUCCAUCAACAUCUAGCAACCAACAUCGUGCACCUUGAGCAUGUACUAACCAUAGCAGCAACAACCUUCUUUUCUUAGUAGAGAGAGGACGAAUACACAGAAAUGCAAAUGAGAGUAGGGGUGGCACAAGAUGAGAAGAAAUAGAGGAGAGAGUUCCUUUCCGGCCAGCAGCCUUACGCCUGGAUCACCAUCGCCCUCGGCUUACAACAACCAGGUAACUUCUUCUUUUUUCUAUUUUCCUAGAUUAAUUAGUUUGUUAUUGUUACAUGCAUGCGUGAAUUACUCAAGCAUGCAUGCAACAAUGCUUUUUUUUUUUUACUGGACCACAAAAAUAAAAAUAAAAACAACAAUAUAUAUAUAUAUAUAUAUAAACAAAAAUAGUUUCUAUUUCUUGUAAUAUAUAUUUUGCGGAUUUAUUCACUGGCGCCAGAGUCAGGAAUACCGUACAUUGUGGGUUGCACAAUAUUUACCAACGUCAGAGUUGGAAAUAUUCAUAGGUGAAUAUUCACUAACGCUAGAGUCAGAAAUAUUAUAGGAUGACCAUAAGAACGGAACACAAACAAACCUUUAGCAAUUUAAGACAAAACCAGCAAUAUAGCUUGUCUAAGGUAGGACGCUUAAGGGGUGAUAAUAUAUUUCCUUUCGCGUAACCAGUCUCGUACCAUAGAAUCUCUGUUGACCAGUUAGGGUUCCUAGUGACCAUAAUAUUAGGUGGCGACUCCUUGAACAAGAACUUUUCCCCUAAAAAAACACGAUGCCAAAUAUCGGUUCUUUUUCCAAUCGAGAGAUUAAUUUUUUAAUAGGUCGCCACGAUGUCCGGGUGUGACAUUAGUGAUAAAAAAAACUUAGAGACCAAAUAGAAUGAGUUGUAGCAAUCACAGUGUUUUAUGAGGAAAACUACAGUGCUUUCCCCACAUGAUUUAGUUUUUUGCUACAUGAUUUAGCUUUUCUGUUAAUAAAAUAGAAAAAAAUACAAAGCUAAAUUCUCAAUCAACUCAAUAUUAAAAAAAAUAAAAUUGAUAAAGACAAUUUUGGAAAAAAUCAUAAAAAAAUCAUGUAGGGAAACAUUGUAGCAAUCCAUAGUGUUUUGUGAAGAAAGCUACAGUUGUAAUUCUAACCCAACUCAAUAUCAAGAAAAUAAAAUCGACAAAGACAAUUUUAGAAAAAAUCAUAAAAAAAAAACAUGUAGGGAAACACUAGGGGUGAUCAUUUUCGGUUCGGUUCAGUUUUUUUUUACAGUAGCCAAAUUUGUUUUUUUUUUAAAAACCAAAACUGGUUCAAACUAACCGUUUUCGGUUCGGUUCGGUUAUUUUAGAGAAAAAACCGGUUCAAAUUGGUUUGGUUCGGUUUGGCUUGGUUUCUGUUCGGUUCAUUUUUUUGGUUUUUUCGGUUUCAAGCUUAUAAAACCGAAACCAAACUGGUUAGUUUUUUGAAAAUUCUAAUCGGUUUUUUUUCAUGGUUCGGUUUUUUCGGUUAUUGUUUUUCGGUUUUCUCGGUUUAAUCGGUAUUUCAGUUUUUUUGCUCACCCCUAGGAAACACUGUAGCAAUUGAUUAGUACUUAAAAGUGCAUUUUUAUCAAGGUUUUAUAUCAUCAUUUUGCACUUAAAGUAUCAAUAACUCCUUAACUAGAGCAUGUUUUAUAAUAUCUUGUCUAAUACUAUAAGAAACCUUUAAUUUAUGGUAAAUGUUCAUCUUAAAUGCAGGCCUAUCACAUAAAUGAAGGGAUUGAUUGAUGAGUUUAACUACUGAAAUUGAGAAGACAAAGAGAGGGCUAAGCAUAGAAAAGAGAUGCUGGUUAAAUCCAAACUGGAACACUAUUCAGUCAUUGGGUCAUAUCUGGAGCUGUAGAUCUUGGAUUUCAGUUUGGUUUAUAUGGCUAGAAAGCUAAGACAUAGGCCUAAAACAUUCAGGAACAAUCCCAGACUCAAUUAUGCUAUUUGGAAGUCCAAAUCUUAGCAUCAAAAGAGAAGUCUGAAUCUGUCCAGCAGCCCAGACACUGUUUAGUGUUCAGCCCAUAUCUCAAGUUCUAGAAGUCCAAAUGCACUGAUUCUUUUUCUGUUGGAAAGCGGAGACAAUAUCCUAGAACUUUCAUGAGACAAUCUGUUCAAAUUCUGAUGUUAGCAAUGAUGUUUUGUUCAGACAAGAAGAUAAGGAUUGUCACCAAGUCAAGAUGUGACCACCCACUCAACAAGUAGUCAUCAAAUCAAUAGUUCCAAAUUUUAGCCUAUAAAAAAAGGCAUUUGUCAUGCAUUUAGGUAUCUUGGUUUUUAGAUCAAGAUCAUUUCCUUACUUGCUUUCUUUCUUUGUAGUUUUAAUGUUCUAGUUUUAUUUCAUGUUAUAGUUUCAUUAAUAUCUUGUUUAUGCCUUUCAUUUCCUUUACUAUACUUAUAUAAUCAUGUUCUCCUCUAUUUUAUUUAUGUUUCUCUUCUUCAAUAUGGUUAGCUAAGUUUAUUAUGUCAAGGUAAAAAGGUUUCACUAAUGGUGUUAGGAUAAGUAUAAUAUAAACUCAAUAUGGACUUUAAUGAUUAUAUCCUAAACAACCUAGUAUUAACAUGUCUUAUCAUUUUUAUCUUAUUAAUUCUUAAUACCUUGCUUGUUAAAUGGUUGAUCUAAAUUUGUGUUGUAUGACACUUAGUACAACAAAUGCUUGGCACUUUCAUAGCCAACCGUAUGGUAUAACCUACACCUAUGCUAUGAAAGGAACUUGAUUUGUUGUUAACAUAAGUUAGCAUCAUGAAUUCCUGACAAUAUUUAAAAGUUUGGUGUUACUUAAAUAAGAUAAUUAAUAUGAUCAUGUUAAUAAUUUAUAAUGAGCUAUUAAUGACAAAUCAUCCGAUUGGAACCUCCUUUGUGUGUGGUUUCUAGUUGAGUAAUAAAAAGAGUUUAUAUUAUACUUAUUUGAAAUACCAUUAGUGGAUCCUCUAACCUUGACAACUGUUUUUAUCAUUGUUUAAUCUUCACAUUAAUCUUACAUCUCAAAGUCUUCUUUAACUCAUCAUCAUCAUCAUCAUCAUCAUCAUCAUCAUCAUCAUCAUCAUUAUUAUUAUUAUUAUUUAUAAAGUUAACCUCUUUGUUGUUCGAUCCCGGUCUUACCGGGUUAUUUAUUACUUUGACACUCCUACACUUGGGAGAAGACAUUAAUCUUUUGGUCGUGUCAAGUUUUUGGCACCGUUGCCAGGGAGGUAAAUUCCUGUAUAAAUUAUAAUAUUUAUUUUAUUUUCUCUUUUCACUUUUCUUGUAUCUAACUUUGUUUCUUUUUGUUUUGUUUCUUUUUGUUUUGUUUCUUUUUGUUUUGUUUUCUUCUUCCAUUUGCAUGAGAGUUUAAGUGGUAGACUUUGUAGGGUAUCCUCAUCAUUUUCAGAAAAUAUGGCUAAAGAAGAUAACCAAAGAAGAUAACCAGUCGCUUCAUAAUGAGAAUAAUGAGAAUAACUGUGUUAGAACACUUAGAGACCACAUGAAUCUCACAAGAAUUUUCCCCCCUGAUACAUCUCAUUUUAAUUUUAAGCCAGACAUUAUUCAACUUUUACCUUCUUUUCAUGGCUUAGAUCUAGAAAAUCCAUACUUGCAUUUAAGGGAAUUUGAAGAAGUCUGUAACACCUAUAAUGACUCAAAUUGUAGCAUGAAAACCAUCAGAUUAAAGCUUUUUCCUUUUUCAUUAAAAGAUAAAGCCAAAACAUGGCAACAAAAUCUUAGGUCAGGAUCCAUUCGUGCUUGGGAUGAAAUGCAACAACAAUUUUUAAAGAAGUUUUUUCCGUCCCACAGAACAAACUCUUUCAAAAGACAAAUCAUCACUUUCACUCAAAAACCAGGAGAAACAUUUUACCAAUAUUGGGAUAGGUAUCGAGACUUGCUUAAUACUUGCCCUCAUCAUGGUUUUGAAACUUGGAGAUUGGUUUCACAUUUUUAUGAAGGGUUAACUCCUAGAGAUAGACAAAUGGUGGAAUUGAUGUACAAUAAAACUUUUAAAGAUAAAGACCCUAAUGAAGCAAUGGAGUACCUAGACUUGCUAGCUGAAAAUGCUCAAAAUUGGAACAUUACAGGCACUUAUGAGGCACCAAGUAAAACCCAACCACAUACAUCUAGUGGAGGUAUAUACAACCUUAUGGAAGAUCAUGACCUCCAAGCCAAGUUUGCAUCUUUAGCUAGAAAAGUCGAGGCACUAGAAUUGAAAAAGAGUGGUCAAUUAAAAUCUGUUCAAGACAUUGUGUGUCAAAUAUGUGAAACCAAUGAACACUCAACCAAUAACUGUCCAACUUUGCCUUCUUUCAAGGAAUGCCUCCAUGAACAAGCCCAUGCUUUAAACAGUUUCCAAAGGCCCAAUCAUAACUCAUACUUGCAAACAUACAACCCUGGUUGGAGAAAUCACCAAAAUUUCAGUUGGAAGAGUGAUAACAAUAAUGCACAAACUUCACAGCCACCAUUUCAAACACAUCAUAAUUUCUAAAAUUCUCAUGGAUAUGCACCUCUUUAUGCUCCACCUCCUAGAAGAAAUCUUGAGGAAACAUUGCAUCCAUUCAUUGAAAAGCAGGAGACAAUCAACACUCAACUUGCUCAAAGCAUGACAGAUUUUAAAGAUACUCUUGCAAAAUUGACAUCUGCUCUCAGUUUUCAAGAGAAAGGUAAGUUUCCAUCUCAACACAGAAAAAUCCAAAGGGGCAAUACAAUGCAAAUGCAAGUAGUUCGGGAAGCCAACACAUGGAUCAAGCCAAAUUAGUCAUCACUCUUCGUAGUGGUAAGGUUAUUGAAAAACCCAUUCUUGAACCUUGUGAGAAAGAUGAUGAGUUAAUCUUUGAGGGUAAGGAAGAGGUUAAAUCUGAACAUUGCAAAGAAAAGACUGAUUCUUCGCCAGCACUUCCAUUUCCUCAUGCCAUGACCAAACAAAGGAAAGUCAAUCACAACUCUGAAAUCUUUAAAACUUUCAAACAGGUAAGGAUCAAUAUACCUUUGCUGGAUACUAUUAAACAGGUACCUUCUUAUGCUAAAUUUUUGAAAGAUUUGUGCACUAUGAAGAGAAAACUGAAUGUGAAAAAGAAAGCCUUUUUAGCCGAACAAGUAAGUGUCAUUCUUCAGAACAAUAAUGAUUUGAAAUAUAAAGACCCUGGUUGUCCUACAAUUUCUUGCUUUAUUGGAGAACAUAAAAUUGAAAGAGCUUUACUUGAUCUUGGAGCUAGUGUGAAUUUACUUCCAUAUUUAGUUUAUCAAAGUCUCAAUCUAGGUGAGUUAAAACCAACUUCUGUAACUCUUUUACUUGCCGAUAGAUCUGUAAAAGUGCCUGGAGGAAUAAUUAAAGAUGUGUUAGUACAAGUCAAUAAAUUCAUUUAUCCUGUGGAUUUUAUUGUCUUGGACACACAACCUGUUGAAGCAUGUAAUUCAUUUCCUGUUAUUUUAGGACGUCCGUUUCUUGCAACUUCUAAUGGAUUGAUCAAUUGUAGGAAUGGACUGAUGAAGCUAUCUUUUGGAAACAUGACAUUGGAGAUGAAUAUUUUCAACAUUUGCAAGCAACCUGGAGAUGAUAAUGAUUUACAGGAAGUGGACUUUACUGAAAAAUUAGUUCAUCAUCAAUUUCAAACCAUUUCUAGUGAAAGUGAGAUUGAUGAAUCUGAUGAUUUGCAAAUGGUUUAUUUUCAGGAAGAAUCAAAGGUAAAUAGUUGGAGACCAAAAAUUGAGGAAUUGCCACCACGAUCAAUUGAGUCCAUACCUUCAAGUGUUCAACCACCAAAACCUGAUUUGAAGCCGCUACCAUUCAAUCUCAAAUACUCAUUAUUGGGAGAAAAUGAAACUUUUCCUGAAAUAAUCUCUUCCAAACUUAAUGCACAUCAAGAAGGUAAGUUAUUACAAACUCUGAAAAUGCACAAAAAUGCAUUAGGAUGGACCAUAGCUGACAUAAAAGGAAUUAGUCCUUUGAUUUGCACACACACAAGAUUUAUUUGGAGGAAAAUGCUAAACCCUCUAGAGAAAUGCAACGAAGGCUUAAUCCUAAUAUGAAAGAAGUAGUGAAAAAAAAAUUCAUUAAGCUUCUAGAUAAUGGAAUCAUUUAUCCUAUUUCUGACAGCAAAUGGGUAAGUCCUACCCAAGUUGUACCCAAGAAGUCUGGAGUCACUGUGAUAACAAAUAAGAAAAUGAGUUAAUUCCAACUAGGCCUAUGACUGAUUGGCGCAUGUGCAUUGACUGUAGGAAACUUAAUUCAAUGACUAGAAAAGAUCAUUUUCCUUUACCUUUCAUGGAUCAAAUCCUAGAAAGAGUUGCAGGUCAUGAAUUUUAUUGUUUCCUAAAUGGCUAUUCAGGUUACAACCAAAUUGAAAUUGCAUUGGAAGAUCAAGAGAAGACUACUUUUACAUGUCCAUUUGGUACUUUUGCAUAUCGAAAGAUGCCUUUUGGAUUAUGUAAUGCACCAGCCACAUUUCAAAGAUGCAUGCUCAGUAUAUUUAGUGAUAUGGUUGAACGUUUUCUUGAAAUUUUUAUGGAUGAUUUUUCUGUUUUUGGCGAUUCAUUUGAUGAUUAUUUGACUAACUUAGAAAAGGUUUUGAGCAGGUGUGAAGAGAAGAAUCUUGUAUUGAAUUGGGAAAAAUAUCACUUUAUGGUAACAAACGGAAUUGUGCUUGGUCACAUUGUUUCAUUGAAAUGAAUUGAGGUUGACAAAUCUAAAAUCGAGUUAAUUGUUAACUUGCCAACACCAAAAUUAAAGAUGUUAGAUCAUUCUUAGAACAUGCUGGUUUUUAUAGAAGGUUCAUGACACGAUCAAAGAGUUGAUGUCUUAUCCCAAGUGCAGGAGUGUCAAAGUAAUAAAUAACCAGGCAAGACUGGGGUCGAACCACAGGGAGGUCAACUAUAUAAAUUACAAAUAAAGAUAAAGAUUUGAAGAGAAUAAUAACAUAAAAGGAGUUGAAGAGAGUUUUGGGAUGUGAUAUUGAUGUAAGGAUUAAACAAUGAUAAAACAGAUGUCAAGGUUAGAUGAUUCACUAAUGGUAUUUCAAAUAAAUAUAAUAUAAACUCUUUUUAUUACUCAACUGGAAACCACACACAAAGGAGGUUCCAAUCAGAUGAUUUAUUGUUAUUAGCUCAUUAUAAAUUAUUAACAUGAUCAUAUUAAUCAUCUUGUCUAAGUAACACCAUACUUAUAAAUAUCAUCAGGCAUUCAUGUUGCUAGCUUAUGUUAACAACAAAUCAAGUUCCUCUCAUAACAACGAUGUCGGUCGAAAACUAUGAAGAAUCAAGCAUUUGAUGUACCAAGUGUUAUAUAACACAAAUCUAGAUUAACCAUUUAACAAGCAAGGUAUUAAGAAUUAGUAAGAUAAAAAGAUAAGACAUGUUAAUAGCAAACUUUCUUGGAUAUAAACAUUGAAGUCCAUGUUGAGUUUAUAUUAUACAUAUUCUAACACCAUUAGAGAAACCUUUUUACCUUGACAUAAUAAACUUAGCUAAACAUAAUGAAGAAGAAGAACAUAAAUAAACUAGAUAAGAACAUAGUUAUGAUGAAAAGCAUAAACAAGAAAUUAAUGAAAGCAAAACUUAAGCAUUACAAAAUAUAAAAAAAGAAAGUAAGAACAUGAUCUUGAUCUAAAAACCAAGAUGACUAAAUACAUGGCAAAUGCCUCCUUUUAUAGGCUAAGAUGUGGAACUAUUGAUUGGUUGACAAACUAUUUGGAUGGUGGCCAACCACUGAUUUGGUGGCUGGUUUUUGACAUUAUUGGCUGCUGGUUAUUGACAUUGUUGGCUGGUUAUUGAUAUUGUUGGCUGGCCAAAACGUCAUUUCUAACAUCAUAAAUUGAGCCAUUUGUUCCAUGAAAUCUGUGGGCAAUUGUCUUAGCUUUCCAACAAAAAAAACCAGAGCUCAUUUGGACUUCUAGAACUCAAGAUAUGAGCUGAAAAUCAAACAGUGUUUGAGCUGCAGGACAGGUUCGGACUUCUCCAUUGUUGCUAAGAUUUGAACUUGAAAACGGUAGAAUUGAGUCUUGGACUCUUCAUGAAAGUUUUAGGUCUAUGUCUUAACUUUCCAUCCAUAUAAAGUAGACCUAAAUCAGAGUUCUACAACUCCAGUUAUGAUCCAAUAACCGAAUAGUGUUCCAGUUUGGAAUUGAACCAGCAUCUCUUCUCUUAGCCUAGUCCUUCUUUUGUCUCUUCACUUUCAAUAGUUAAUCACAUCAAUCAAUCCUUUGAAUUGUGAGAUAUACCUGCAUUCAAAAUAAGCAUUUACCAUAAAUUAAAGAUAUAUUAUAUUAUCAGAUUUGUUAUUAUAAAACAUGCUUUAGUUAGGGAAUUUAAUGAUACUUUAGUGCAAUAUGAUGAUAUAAAGCCUUAAUAAAAAUGCACUUUUAAGUACUAAUCAGUUCAUCAAAGAUUUUAGUGUAAUAUCUAAGCCCUUGAGUAACCUUCUAACAAAGGAUAAUAUUUUUUAAUGGACUGAACAUUGUGAAGAAGCUUUUGUUAAACUUGUUGCUACCUAAUUUUUUACCCAUGUUUUGAUAAAAAAAUUUUAAAAAAUAAAAAAUAAAAAUAAAAGGAUUUACAUGUGGCGAUAACAUAGAGCAUCAGGGUUAAGGAAACAAUAUGUCAAGGAGAUAAUUACUGAAUCAUAUAUAACUACUGCAAUAUAAAAUACCAUAGAUAUAUGAUUUGAUUCGUGCUGUUUAGGAAAAAUAAUCACUGCAAUAGAAAAAUACCAUAUAUAUAGGAUUUGUUGGUGCUGGUUAUAGAAGACAAUCUCUGUAAUAAUUAUUAUAAUAUUUCUUUAAAUAACACGUAUAGAGAUUUUCUAUAUAAAUGAACAUCCAGCCAUAUACAGAGGGGGGGAAGAAAAUUUACAGAGGACAAAUUUUUUUUAAAGAGAGAAAUUUAGGGCAACCAUAAAAAAACCUAAACCUAAUUUUUUUCUCUCGGCCGAAAACAAGCCAUCGCCCCCUCUCCCCUGUUGUUUUUUUGGUUUGCAGUCUCCCCCCCAGCUAUCUUCUUCUCCUCCCUCAGCUCCCACACGCAUGACCUUCCCUUUACGCAAAAAGAGGCUUUUAAAGCGCUCUGAAUUUCCUUAGAUUUCUAAAUUUUUGUCUCUCCUCCUUGCGAUUUACGAGUCGCAAAACUCUUGAAAUACUAAGGGAAAAAUGAGCUUUUAAAGCACAUGGAAUCUCUUUGGAUUUCUAUCUUAAUAAAUUUAGUCUGAAUCAAACACAGAUUUCAAGAGAUCUGCAUCGGUUCUCCUUGGUACUUUGUAGACAUAUCUAAGGGUGUGAUCCACAUUGACCAAGGGUUAUUUCUUUUUUAAAACUUUCAGUCCAAGUUUGUUCGUCAUAGCAAAAUGUAUCCUAGGAAAACACCAACACCAUAACAAUUAUAAAGCAAACCAAACACCAAGCAGCUUACCUUAGGUAGGGCGUGCUAGGGGUGCUAAUACCUUUCCUUUACGCAACCAGUCCCUUGCCUUAAAAUCUCUGAAAGACCAGUUAGGUUUCCUAGUGACCAUAAUACUAGGUGGCGACUCUAUUAUUCACAAAACAAAAGACCCCGAAAUCAAUCGAGGAUCGCCGCGACACCGCGCUCCGCUCGCGAGGGUGCGACAGGAUGGCGACUCCACUCGGGACCCUAGGACUAAGCUUGGUAAUUGUUUUUUUUAUUAUGCUAUGUGUUGUUUGUUUUCUUAUAUGAAUGAUACUUUGUUUAAAAGCUUUAGCAUGCAUCUUUACAUUCUGUCAUACAUGGUAUAGUCAUGCAUCACUUUAUUAUUAUUAUCUUUUUUAGGGCACACACAUUUAACUUUAAGUUAAGUGGGGAACUAGCAACUUGCCUUAUGACUUGAGUCAAGGUUUAAGUUUGUGUAAACCCCAACUCUUUGCUGAGUGUUUAGAUUGAUAUUGAUUGAUACAUGUGCCAUCCCACUAUCUGCUAAACCCCCAUAUUACCUUUACGAGGGCGAUCACUGGGACAGCAAGAGACCCUUUUUUAGAGACCACGUAGUAAACCUACCAUAUGUCUCACGUAAAAGAACUAGAACCUAUCCUUAGGUUGUAUGCUCCAUAAUAUCUUUUGCAUCAAAACUAGUCUAACCCCAAGGCAUCUUGAAUUCCAGGACUUGUGAACGAAAUGGCCACCAUCACUAAAUCUUCCAUCAUAGAGUAUGGGAAAAAUUCUGAACUGUCACAAUUGACUGAAGGAGACUGCCUUAGAAGCGAUGCUAAGAAGAUGUCACCAAUCAAGAACCUGAAUUGCAUUAUGAAUGAGGUGAACAAGUUAACGACUCAUUUUCAGAAUGUUGAUAAAGAUGCAUUUUUUAGGAAAUACGGACGUUUGGUGGAAAUUGCAAAGGUAGAAGUUUUAAGCCCAGCUGUGCGAGCUUUAGUUCAUUUUUGGGAUCCAGACUACCGGUGUUUUUCUUUUGGAAACAUAGACCUAUGUCACACUAUUGAGGCAUAUGGGAUAUUGACUGAGUUUCCAAACAAUCUGUAUCAGAUUUAUUUGCCUUUGAGAUCUGACAAGAUCAUCCCCGAACUGUCAAAACUGCUCAGAAUCUCCAACUUAGAAAAGUUUUUGGAAAAGAAUGCUAUCGGUUUGAAAUGGAGGAUGCUAGAAAUUGAACUUGAAAAGAAGUCAGGAUUAGAAAAAGAGAGAUUGAUUGCCUUGGGCGUAUUUGGCCUUGUGUUGUUCCCAAGCCAGACGGGUGUAGUGAGUUUGAAGGCCGCUGCUGCUUAUGUAGAGUAUGAGAAUACACAAAUCAAUCCAAUGGCUGCUAUUUUAGCCGAAACCAUCUUGACACUUAACCAUUGUAGGAGGACCGGAAAAGGAGCAAUGAGAUGCUGCACGUAAUUGUUGUAUAUCUGGAUGGUUAGCCAUAUCGAAAUAAAAAAGUCUGUCUUCAAUAAUUUUUGGUGGUUCACCCAAAGACCCCUGAAGGUAGUAGAAGAAGAAGAAUGGGGAGAUCUAGACAACCAAGGUUGGGUUGAAAAAUUAGAAGGUUUGCCUAAUAGUGAUUUUAAGUGGAAAGCCCCAUGGGUAACGACAGUGAAAGUCCUAAUGAGUUGUGGACAAAGACGUUGGGUGCCAUUGGUAGGGAUUACAGGUUAUGUGAGUUAUGCUCCUGCCCUAGUGGUAAGGCAACUUGGGGGCAUGCAGUUUGUUCCAAGGACUAUGGGAAUUGCUCAGUUCUUUGGUUUGUUCAAAGAUCCUGUUGCACAAGAAGUUUUGGAGAUCAUUAAACAAGAUUGAAAGCAUCUGGUUUUGGUUGAGAUAGAAGGUUUAAAGGAUCCAAGUGCAAGUGAAGGAUAUGCAAGAUGGAGAGACUUAGCAGCUUCAGCCAUGCCUUGUGUAGGAGUCAAAUCUCCCCAAACUGUAGAAGAGCCUAUUAAGAGGAAAAGGGUCAAUAAUGAAGAGGAGUUGAGAAGACAAGUGGAAAAACUUCGGAUAGAGUUGAGCAAAAGCAGAGAAGACAAGGCAAUGUUGGAAGAAAUGAUGCUAAAAGAAGAUAAAAGGAGAGCAUUUCUAGAUGAGCAAAUACAAUCUAGAGAUGCGCGAAUAACAAAGCUUGAGUUAAAGCUGGGUGAGGAGAAGAUUGCUAGGGAAAGAAGUGAGAAGAAGCUAAGAAGGAUGAGUUUGGAUUGGAUGCAAAGUUGCUCUAAACUUGAAGCAAUAGAGAUUGACUUUAACGAUUGCUAAGCAAGUGCAUAAUAUUACCAAGAAAAAUUUGCACAAGUCCAGUUCGAACUGAUGGAUAGGAUUGGGAAGUAUGAGGAUUUGAACAAGAAAUAUAUGGAGUUAGAAAGCCGUUCGAUGGGGAUUGCAAAAAAAGAAAGUAAAAGGAAAGGUUUUGAGGUGGUUGAAAUAGAAUUAGCGGUUAAGAAGAAUGAGAUAAAAGUUAUGAGGAUAAAACUUGACAAGGAACGUGAAAAGGUGAAGUAUUUGAACGAGAAGCUAGCAGCAAUGGAAAAACACAAGGAUCAAAUCGACGCCAAUAACACUGCUUUGAACAGAACCAAUAUGUUGCUCAUAGAAAAGAUGACCAAGACAGAUGAGCAAAUGGACGAAGCUGCUGCACAUGCUCGAAUUAUUAGAAUCAAUACGCGGAAUGUGGGAGGGGACAUCAUUCGCUAUCGCCGAAGUCUAGCUGAAACCGAUGCCUUUCUAGGGAAGAUUGAGAACCACGACUUUGCCUUAUUACCUUUGGCUAGAGAGUUUGUGGAGGAAAGGGAUUAACAUGUUGUAUUUCCUUUUUAUUUCUAAAUGUAAUAAACUUAUCAAACAUUAAUGAAAAGGGCGUUGACCCAUCUUCUUAUGCAAAAUCUGUCUCUUGGUGAAUAUGAUUCAAGCAAACGACCUGAAAGGCAGUACUCCUAUCAAAGCAAUGUGACAAGAGAACCUAUGUUUAUAAUGUGGUGGCUAUUAUUCGUUCACAAGAAGGCUGCAUCCAUACCCAAUGUACAAAUGCAUUCUUAUCACAAUCAUGCAUUAUAUCAUGCAUUUUCUUAUACAUCUAUGCACGCAUAUGCAGACCUAGAAAUAUAGGUCCCCCUUCUAGAAUCCACAACACUUAACUAAGAAAAAGGAUGGAAAAUAAAGAAAGGUCACACCAAAAAGCUCAGUACCAAAAAGAGAUUGAAGGAGUUUGGAAUGAUGUUGCGCACCUAAUCGGUUUUCUCAUGCAAAUGUUUUGAGACAACUUUUUCCUUUUAAUGAGAUCAUGCAUUUCCAAAAGUUCAUCUUGGUGUUUUUACACAUCACUUUCCGUUUUCAAACUGGAUCUUCCAUAAUAACAUCUACACUUUACACUGAGAUUGAAUGGCUGGACUUUAAAGAAUACAUAUUAGUUGUAGAAGAAGAAGAAUGAGAGGAAAUUAACAUUAGGGGAUUCACAAAAAUUAAUAAGAACAACAUGAACAAGCUUGGAAACCCGCUAAAGAGGAAUUUGAAACCAUAGAUGUGGGCAAUGAAAAAAUCAAGAGAGAGUUGAAGAUAGGGACUUUGAUCACCCCUAAAGAAAGAGAAGAGUUGAUUAUACUACUCCAAGAUUAUGUAGAUUUUUUUUUUCCUGGUCCUACAAGGAUAUGCCUGGUUUGUAUAAGGUACCACUAGUAGAAGGAUGCAAAUCGGUUAAGCAAAGGUUGAGAAGGACCAAUUUGAAUGUCUUGAUCAAGGUAAAGACAUAAAUUGAAAAGUAGUGGAAUGCUGGUUUUCUAGAAAUAGUCAAGUAUCCGCAAUGUGUGUCUAACAUAGUGGUAGUACCCGAAGAGGAAGAGAAAAUCAGAGUUUGUGUGGACUUUAAGGACUUAAACCGGACUAGCCCUAAAGACAAUUUUUUUCUAUCACACAUAGAUAUGUUAGUUGACAAUGCAGCUCGUAGCCCCAUAUAUUCCUUUAUGGACGGGUUUUCGGGCUACAAUAAGAUAAAAAUGGCGCAAGAGGAUAAUGAGAAGAAACCUUUGUAACACUAUGGGGAACCUUUUGCUACAAAGUCAUGCCAUUUGGGUUAAAGAACGUUGGGGGCACCUACCAAAGGGCCAUGUUGACUCUAUUUCACGACAUGAUGCACAAAGAGAUUGAAGUAUACGUGGAUGACAUGAUUGCUAAAUCUAGAGAGGGAGAGAACCAUGUCCAAAUAUUGAAGGAAUUAUUUGAAAGAUUAAGAAAGUACAAGUUGAGGCUUAACCAUGCAAGGUGUUCAUUCGAGGUGAAAUCUAUGAAAGUUGUUGGGAUUUAUGAUGAGUGACAAAAGGAUAGAAAUGGACCCCGGUUAAGUAAAGGCUAUUCAAUCUAUGCCAACUCCCAAGACUGAGAAGGAUGUAAGAAGGUUCUUGGGAAGGUUGAAUUACAUUGCUCGGUUUAUAUCCCAAUUAACCACAACUUGUGACUCAAUCUUCGAUUGUUAAGGAAGAAGAAUCUCGGAAUUUGGAAUAAGAGUGUGAAGAAGCUUUCGAGAAAAUCAAGUAAUACGUAUUGAAUCCACCCCUAUCUAUCAAGCCGAAUUGCAAAAUGGCAAGUUCUACUGGCUGAGUACGACAUAGUAUAUAUGACAUGGAAAGCCAUGAAAGGGAGUGUUAUUGUCGAUCACCUUACCGACCAUGCUAGGGAAGAUAUUGAGUAAUUAAAAUUUGACUUUCCUGAUGAAGAUGUGCUUUCAGUUGAGGAAGGGAAAUUAGAUUGGUGGACUAUGUACUUUGAUGGUGAUGUAAAUGUAUGUGGUAACAGAGCUGAUGCAAUGAUAAUCUCUCCUAAUAAAAAGCAAUAUUCGGUUUUAGUUAAGUUGCAGUUUGGGUGCAAUAACAACAUAAGAGUAUGAAGCUUGCAUUUUCGUUUUAGAGGUGACAUUGGAGCAGAAUAUUAGAAAGAUAGAUAUGUAUGGAGACUCAAUUUUGAUUAUUUUCCAAGAGAAAGGAAAAUGACAAACCAAUGACGAGAAGUUGAGACCUUACCAAGAAUACCUGUCUAAAUUGGCUAGAGAAUUUGAGGAAAUAAAGUUCACCCAUCUAGGAAGGGAAGGAAACCAUUUUGCUGACGCUUUGGUCACAUUAACUUAUAUGGCUAGAAUAGACUUUGGGCAUAAGGUACAGUCGGUACGCAUUAAUAUCAGAAAUAACCCAGCUCAUUGUUGCUUAGUUGAAAGAGAAAAAGCUGGAAACCCUUGGUACUAUGAUAUCAAGAAUCUCAUCCAAAACCAGACAUAUCACAUUGGGGCAUCCAAAAUCAACAAAAGGACUUUGAGGAGGUUGGCAAUGGAUUUCUAUCUUGAUGGGGAAACUUUGAAUAAGAAAUCAUUUGACGGAACUUUGUAGAGAUGUUUGGAUGACAUGGAGGUAAAAAGUGGUGAAGAAAUUUAUGGAAAGAGAUUUGAUCUGUCAAUAUGGUCCACUAGAAAAGAUUAAUAAUGCCCAGAACUUCAAUAACAAGAUGAUAAUAAAACUCUAUGCUAAAUGGAAAAUCAAGCAUUCCAAUUCCUUGCUAUAUAGGCCAAAGAUGAAUGGUGUUGUAGAAGCUGCUAACGAAAAUGUCAAGAAGAUUGUUUAGAAGAUGAUAGUCACCUACAAGGAUUGGCAUGCGAUGUUGCCAUUCGCCCUUCACGCGUACUGCACUGCAAUCCGAACCUCAAUAGGAGCCACCCCGUAUAUAUUGGUGUAUGGAAUGGAGGCAGUGAUGCCUUUAGAAGUUGAAAUCCCCUCAUUAAGAGUAUUGAUAGACUCCGAGCUAGAAGAGGUAGAGUGAGUAAAAGUUAGAGAUGAAUAGUUGAAUCUGAUCAGUGGAAAGAGGAUAGCCGCAAUCUGUCAUCAAAGAAGGAUGGCCAAAUUAUACGACAAGAAGGUUCGACCUCGAGGAUUCCACUAAGGAGAUCUUAAACUGAAGAAAAUAUUGCCUUUUACCAGGAGAAGAUCAGAGUAAAUGGGCGUCAAACAAUGAGGGCCUUUUCGUGGUAAAGAAAGCAUUCUCAGGAGGAGCUUUAUUGUUAUCUAGAAUGGAUAGAGAAGAUCUAGUUAAACCUAUGAAUGCUGACUCUAUAAAGAAAUACUAUGCUUCCCAGUCAAUAAAAGAAAGUCCGGCCAUGCUCUUUGUAAAGAACCCUUUUUUUCAUAAAACGUAUGAUCUCAUAGCAUUUGAAAUCUUUUACUUAAAAGAACUGUUUUUUUUUAACGCAUGACUAAGGAGAUGACUCCAUCAAUUGGAGAGAACCAAAUCAAAUCUAAACUUGACAUAUUUUUGCACACCACACUGGGGGCAAGAAGUGCACGAAGUACACAUAGGGGUCCAUAGUGAACCAAAGCCCAAAGGGGUAUCAUCAUAAAAACUUCUAAAAAACAUCUUUUAUGAGAAUUGCUAAUUGUAUUGAAAGUUUCAGUUUUCAUGAACAAAACCAAAUCUUUUGAGUUUUCCUUUUAAAAUAAUAAUAAAAGACAAUACUCAAUGGAGCAAGAAAGGGCCCCAUAAGGAACCAAAGAUCUCUUCACCAAGAGGAUAGGAAGUAUAGCACGUGGAGUAUAUUCCAUUUCAAGAGGACGAGUCGGACAAACAAAUGAAAACAGGAGCUCAAUAAGUCUACAACAGAAAGAGGGACCUAUGUUUCCAAAAUAGGUAACAAAAAAAAAAGCAUGCAUGCUAUAUUGUCAUAACACUAACCUGGCAGGAGAAGGUGUGACGAAAGCCAAAAUAGUUCCAAGUUUUUGGGAAAACCGUUGAGGUACAAAAUCUCAUGUCAACGGAACUACGGAAAAGGAUAGGAAUUGUGAACCAGCACUACUUCAUUUCCUCGAGGUAAGAUGUUUUCUUUUAAAGUUUGAGAUGGGCAGGUCACCCAAUAUUGAGACCAUUUCUUAGAAAAACGUGGAGUUUUCUAAGAAUUUUAAGAUGGGCCGGUCACCUGAUAUUGAGACUGUUUCUUAGAAAAGCGUGGAGUUUUUUAAGAAUUUUAAGAUGGGCAGGUCGCCCGAUAUUGAGACCAUUUCUUAGAAAAACAUUGAGUUUUCUAAGAAUUUUAAGAGGGGCCGGUUACCUGAUAUUGAAACCGUUUCUUAGAAAAGCGUGGAGUUUUCUAAGAAUUUUAAGAUGGACCGGUCACGUGAUAUUGAGACUGUUUCUUAGAAAAGCGUAGAGUUUUCUAAGAAUUUUAAGAUGGGCAGGUCACCCGAUAUUGAGACCAUUCCUUAGAAAAGCAUGGAGUUUUCUAAGAAUUUUAAGAGGGGCCGGUUACCUAAUAUUGAAACCGUUUCUUAGAAAAGCGUGGAGUUUUCUAAGAAUUUUUAAGAUGGGCCGGUCACCUGAUAUUGAGACCGUUUCUUAGAAAAGCGUGGAGUUUUCUAAGAAUUUUAAGAUGGGCAGGUCACCUGAUAUUGAGACCGUUUCUUAGAAAAACGUGGAGUUUUCUAAGAAUUUUUGGAGGGGCCUGUCACCCGAUAUUAAGACUGUUUCUUAGAAAAGCGUGGAGUUUUCUAAGAAUUUUAAGAGGGGUCGGUCACCUAAUAUUGAAACCGUUUCUUAGAAAAGCAUGGAGUUUUCUAAGAAUUUUAAGAGAGGUCGGUCACCUGAUUUUGAGACUGUUUUUUUAGAAAAGCGUGGAGUUUUCUUAAAAAAAAAGUUUAAGGUGGGCAGGUCACCCGAUAUUGAGACCAUUCCUUAGAAAAGCGUGGAGUUUUCUAAGAAUUUUAGGAGGGGCCUGUCACCCGAUAUUGAGACCAUUUCUUAGAAAAGCGUGGAGUUUUCUAAGAAUUUUAAGAGGGGCCGGUCACCUGAUGUUGAAACCGUUUCUUAGAAAAGCAUGGGGUUUUCUAAGAAUUUUAAGAGGGGCCGGUCACCUGAUUUUGAGACCGUUUUUUUUAAAUAAGCGUGGAGUUUUCUUUAAAAAAAAGUUUAAGGUGGGCAGGUCACCCGAUAUUGAGACCGUUCCUUAGAAAAGCGUGGAGUUUGCUAAGAAUUUUAGGAGGGGCCUGUCACCCGAUAUUGAGACCAUUUCUUAGGAAAACGUGGACUUUUCUAAUAAUUUUAAGAGGAGCCGACCACCUGAUAUUGAAACCAUUUCUUAGAAAAGCGUGGAGUUUUCUAAGAAUUUUAAGAUGGACCGGUCACUUGAUAUUGAGACCAUUCCUUAGAAAAGCAUGGAGUUUUCUAAGAAUUUUAAGAUGGGCAGGUCACCCGAUAUUGAGACCAUUCCUUAGAAAAGCAUGGAGUUUUCUAAGAAUUUUAAGAGGGGUCGGUUACCUAAUAUUGAAACCGUUUCUUAGAAAAGCGUGGAGUUUUUUAAGAAUUUUUAAGAUGGGCCGGUCACCCGAUAUUGAGACAAUUUUUUAGAAAAGCAUGGAGUUUUCUAAAAAAAUAUUUUGAGGUGGGCAGGUCACCCGAUAUUGAAACCAUCCCUUAGAAAAGCGUUGAGUUUUCUAAGAAUUUUAAGACGGGCCUGUCACGCGAUAUUGAGACCAUUUCUUAGGAAAGCGUGGAGUUUUCUAAGAAUUUUAAUUUGGGUAGGUCACCCGUCAUAAUGUGACCAUCUUUCAUUUUGGGUAGGUCACCCGUCAUAAUGAGACCACACACACAUUUUUGUAUUGGUUGUGGUUAAAGGAGAUCACCAGAUGGGAUCUCAGGUUAACCCAACCACACACAGAGUUUACCUUUGGUUAAAGGGAAUCGCCAGAUGGGAUUUCAGGUUGACCGAGCUACACACCGACUUUGCUUCGGAUUAAAGGAGAUCGCCAGAUGGGAUCUCAGGUUAACCCAACCACACAGAGUUUAGUUUUGGUUAAAGGGAAUCGCCAGAUGGGAUUUCAGGUUAACCGAGCUACACACCGACAUUGCUUCGGAUUAAAGGAGAUCGCCAGAUGGGAUCUCAUAUUAACCCAACCACACACAUAGUUUAGCUUUGGUUAAAGGGAAUCGCCAGAUGGAUUUCAGGUUAACCGAGCUACACACCGACUUUACUUCAGAUUAAAGGAGAUUGCCAGAUGGGAUCUCAGGUUAACCCAAUCAAAAGGGUAGGUCGACCGUGAAAAUAGACCAGCAUGAGUAUGUGGGUAGGUCGCCCCUGAAAAUAGACCAGGUUUGAGUGUGUGUGAGCAGGUCGCUCGUGAAAAUAGACCAAUUUUCUUUUUUUAAAAAAGACAGGUCACCCAUGAUAACUAGACCAUUUUCUUUUAAAAAGUGAAGUCCUUGGAUGAGUAGAUCAUUCAAAAAGCAAGGAAGACUUUUUUUUUCUUUACAAGCUUACUAUGCAAAACAUUAAGGAGUUUUGCUUCGUAAGCAUUGUAAAGAGGGGGUAUCUGUUGCUACCUAAUUUUUGACUCAUGUUUUGAUAAAAAAAUUUUAAUAAAUAAAAAAUAAGAAUUUACAUGUGGCGAUAACAUAGAGCAUCAGGGUUAAGGAAGCAAUAUGUCAAGGAAAUAAUUAGUGAAUAAUAUAUAAUUACUGCAAUAUAAAAUACCAUAGAUAUAUGAUUUGAUUCGUGCUGUUUAGAGAAAAUAAUCACUGCAAUAGAAAAAUACAAUAUAUAUAGGAUUUGUUGGUGCUGGUUAUAGAAGACAAUCUUUGUAAUAAUUAUUAUAAUAUUUCUUUAAAUAGCACGUAUAGAGAUUUUCUAUAUAAAUGAACAUCCAGCCAUAUACAGAGGAGGGGAAAAAAUUUACAGAGGACAAAUUUUUUUUAAAGAGAGAAAUUUAGGGCAACCAUAAAAAAACCUAAACCUAAUUUUUUUCUCCUGGCCGAAACCAAGCCAUCGCCCCCUCUCCCCUGUUGUUUUUUUGGUUUGCAGUCUCCCCCCCCCCAGCUAUCUUCUUCUCCUCCCUCAGCUCCCACAUGCACGACCUUCCCUUUUCAGCUAAAGACAAACUCACGGUCUUCUCUCCCAACCAAGAGGCAGCCGGCGCCGCUCUCCCUCUCCACAACAGCCGUCACUGCUCCUCCCCCUUUCUCAAUCAAGACUUUCCCUCUGCACACAAGCUUCUCUUCUCCCUUCGCCAGACCUCACUUCCCUAGCUUGCAACAACUAUGAACACCACUUACAGGCCUUCACUCUCUGUCAACACAACCCCAGGAAAAGACUCUCCAUUCAUCCCAUCUCUCCCUCAGCUCAGCCCCGCCUGAUAAACAUUCAAAACCAGAAGCCACAGCCAGCCCUUCCCCCGACAGUAACAGAGAAGCAACACCAGAACCUCAGACUGGCCUCCCUUGAAAAAUCCCAGCAGCUAGCAGCACCACCUCUGCUGAACCAUGGCCAGCACCAACAGCAACCAGGAACGAGUUGAGCCACUCGCCCAGUUGUAGCCUCCUCCACAGCCAUAUCCUUCCUCAGCCGCAGUGAUGGAACCAGCAGAAGCCACACCUUUCCUCGACCGCAGUAGCAGAAUCAGCAGAAGUCAUCCUUCCCUUCCAGCAACACGAGAACAGAGGGAGUUUCUUUCCUUCAUCCUUUCGUUACUGUGAGAAAGGAAAACAGAACAGAGGAGAGGGAGAGAAGAGAAACGAAAGCAAAACAAACCGGAAAGAACAGAGACGCAAGAGAAAAGCAAGCGAGCGCAGACAGUGAGGACUGGAGAAACCGGGUUCGCCAGCAGACCAGGUAAGCUGUCUCUCUUUUCUUACCAGCUUUGCAUGCAUUCUUGGUUGCAUUGUUACUGUUCAAGUGAAAUUUAAUACACUUGAACAGUAACCAGCCAAGGCAUGCGUGAGGAAACUCACGCAUGCCUUUGUGCCCAGUCGGGUCACUGGUUUGGGUCAGUGACCCGGCUAUGCCUGCUGGGUUCAGCCCAGCCACAUGGGCCGAGCUGGACCCAGCCCCUAAAAAAACGAGUAAUAUCAUUUUUUUAUUUAAUUUGUGGUUUUUUUAUAUUUUUAUAUUGUAAAAACAUAAAUCUUGUAUUUAAAAUACCUGGUUUUCAACGCAAUGUGACAAAUAUAUAUAUAUAUAUAUAAAAUGUUUUCAUGCAUACGACCAAUACUCUAAAUGUUUUGAAUGUUUUUUUUAUAUAAAAAAAAAAUAUUGGAAGUUUCAAAAAUGUGUUUUCGCAUGGAUUUCUUAAACACAACAAAAAUUAUUUUCUUGCAUUUCUAGAACACAACAAAAAUUAUUUUCUUGCAUUUCUAGAUUUUACAACAUGUUUGUAAAACUCCAAAGGGUAUUGGUCAAUAUUCCAAAAAAUAUAAAAAUCUUAUUUUGGAGGAAAUUCAUCUAUUAUUCACCGCUAAUGUUUGGAUAAAAAAAUCCUUAAAGGACGAAUAUCCAAAAUAUUAUUGGGAAUAACUUGUUAUUAUUCGCUGUUAAUGUUUGGAUAAAAAAACCCCAAGUGGUUAAUAUCCAAAAUAUUUUUCUAGGAAUAAUAAGUCAUCGCACAUCGUUGAAAGAAGCCUCGAUUAUAAUUUAGGACAUUUUAAUUUUUGACUCCAUGGUUUACAAGCCAUAAAAAUAUGAAACAAGGCAAAAAGAGGCUUUUAAAGCGCUCUGAAUUUCCUUAAAUUUCUAAAUUUUUGUCUCUCCUCAUUGCGAUUUACGAGUCGCAAAACUCUUGAAAUACUAAGGGAAAAAUAAGCUUUUAAAACACAUGGAAUCUCCUUGGAUUUCUAUCUUAAUAAAUUUAGUCUGAAUCAAACAUAGAUUUCAAGAGAUCUGCAUCGGUUCUCCUUGGUACUUUGUAGACAUAUCUAAGGGUGUGAUCCAGAUUGACCAAGGGUUAUUUCUUUUUUAAAACUUUCAAUCCAAGUUUGUUCGUCAUAGCAAAAUGUAUCCUAGGAAACACCAACACCAUAGCAAUUAUAAAGCAAACCAAACACCAAGCAGCUUACCUUAAAUAGGGCGUACUAGGGGUGCUAAUACCUUCCCUCUAUGCAACUAGUCCCUUGCCUUAGAAUCUCUAAAAGACUAGUUAGGUUUCCUAGUGACCAUAAUACUAGGUGGCGACUCCAUUAUUCACAAAACAUAACACCCCGAAAUCAAUUGAGGAUCGCCGCACUCUGCUCGUGAGGGUGCGACAAAACUUAAAAACUUACGUACUUCUGCUCUUGUCAUUCAACCUCUUUAUUGGUCACUACCUUUUGAAAUAACGUGUGAUGCUUGUGAUUAUGUCGUGGGUGCUGUCUUGGGACAAAGAAAAGAUAAGAAACCUUAUAUGAUUUACUAUGCAAGUAAAACUUUAAAUAGUGCUUAAAUGAAUUACACCACCAUUGAAAAAGAAUUACUUGCAAUAGUAUUUGUUUGUGAAAAAUUCAGGUCUUAUCUUGUUGGCUUACCUGUUGUUGUUUUUAGUGAUCAUGUUGCACUGAAAUAUCUUUUUUCUAAGAAAGAUUCUAAGGCUAGAUUGGUGCGGUGAAUUUUGUUACUUCAAGAAUUUGAUAUCACAAUUAAAGACAAGAAAGACACCAAAAAUGUUGUCGCAGAUCAUUUGUCAAGAUUGACAACAGAUUUGAAAUUUGACAUCACACCAAUCAAUGACUACUUUCCUGAUGAAUCUUUACUAUCUGUCUCUACAAUGCCUUGGUUUUCUAAUAUUGUCAAUUUUCUUGUUUCAGGACAAUUGCCAGCUCAUUGGAGAACCCAAGAUAAAAGAAAGUUCUUGAACGAAGUGAAUAACUUUUAUUGGGAUGACCUUUAUUUAUUCAAAUAUUGUCCUGAUCAAAUAUUUCAAAGAUCCAUUCCUGACAAUGAGGUAAGUAGUGUCAUUAAAUUUUGUCAUUCUGAGGCAUAUGGGGGCCAUUUCUCAUCAAGAAAGACAACUCCAAAAAUCUUACAAAGUGAAUUUUACAGGCCCACCAUGUUCAAGGACUCACAUGCAUUCUGCAAGACUUGUGAAAAUUGUCAAAAGUUGGGAUCUAUUUCAAAACGUCACAUGAUGCCUUUAAAUCCAAUUCUUGUCAUUGAGAUCUUUGACUGUUGGGGUAUAGAUUUCAUGGGUCCAUUUCCUCCAUCAUUUGGUUUCUUGUACAUAUUAGUCGCAGUAGAUUAUGUUUCAAAAUGGAUACAGGCAAUUCCAAGUCGAAACAAUAACCACAAAACAGUGAUAAAGUUUUUGAAAAAAAAUAUUUUGAGUCCAUUUGGAAUCUCUCGAGCCAUGAUAAGUGAUGGUGGAACACAUUUCUGCAACAAGUCAUUUGAGUCUUUAAUGAAGAAAUAUGGAAUCACACACAAAGUUGUCACCCCUUAUCACCCUCAGACAAGUGGACAAGUAGAGCUUGCUAAAAGGGAGAUCAAACAAAUCUUGGAGAAAACAGUAAACCCUAAUAGGAAAGACUAGUCUUUAAGACUUAAUGAUGCACUUUGGACUUAUUGAACUGCUUAUAAAACAUCAUUAGGUAUGUCACCUUAUAGAUUAGUCUAUGGAAAACCUUGUCACUUGCCUGUGGAACUUCAACACAAAGCUUAUGCUGAUGCCUUCAUUGCUUUACCAGGUGGGCUGGGCAUAUUGGAAGAGAUCUUUCAUAUUUCCUUUUGGGCCCAACUACACAUUCACCAUAAACCCAUAGAUCUGUUAAAUGUUAAUGGUUUUUAUGAUAAUUUGUUGUCUUUUCUUUAUCAAGCUGUGGAAUAACAAUUUCUAACAUCUUCAGCACGACAAAUCAUAAUCUCUGCUGUUACUACUAAACAAUUGAUUGACUAACUACAAUCUUUCAUCCUUGUAAUUGAUCUCUCCAUGAGUCGUAUAAAUUGGUCAACUAAGGAAAGCCGUAAAAAGCUUAGAUUGGAUUUGAGCCUUCGUUUGUGAAACCUUGUGUCCUUUGGUUUUAUUAAUAGCAUUUUAUUUUGUUUUGUUAUUUCUUAUAUUUGUUUAAGUGUGUUUCAGGUUUGCUAGUGUUCGUUGUUUCAGGUGAUGUCUUCUAUACUCUAUCUUUCUACCUUAGGACAUUGAGGACAAUGUCUCGUUCUAGUUGGGGGGAGAGGGUAGUAGUUGACAUAAAAAAAACUAACUUCUAACAGUUUUUGCUAUUAUUAAAACCAUUUGACAAAACUGUUAUUAGGAUGGCAGACUUUAAUGUUUGAUACUAACAUGUUUUGUAUUUGUUAUCUUGUUCACUUUUAAUAUUUUGCUUGUUAAAUGAUUAAUCUACAUUUAUGUUGUAUAAUCCUUGGUACAACAAAUACUUGGCACUUUCAUAGCCCAAACCGUAUGGUAUAACCGACACCUGUGCUAUGAAAGGAACUUGAUGUGUUGUUAACAUAAGUUAUAAUCAUGAAUGCCUGAUAACAUUUACAAGUAUUAGCAUUAUUCGAAUGAGAUAACUAAUGUAAUCAUGUUAACAAUUUAUAAUCUGAUUGGAACCUUCUUUGUGUGUGGUUUCCAGUUGAAUAAUAACAGUUUAUACUAUACUUGUUUGAAAUACCAUUAGUGGAUCCUCUAACCUUAACAAUUGUUUUUAUCAUUGUUUAAUACUUAUAACAAUAUCACAUCUCAAAGCUCUCUUCUUCUUCUUGUUAUUAUUAUUGUUGUUGUUGUUGUUGUCGUUGUUGUUGUCGUUGUUGUUGUUGUUGUUGUUGUAUUGUUGUUAUUUAUAAUUUUUAUAGUUAACCUUCUUGUGGUUCAACCCCUGUCUUGCCGGGUUAUUUAUUACUUUGACGCUCCUACACUUGGGAGAAGACAUCAAGCUUUUGGUCGUGUCAGCCCUAAUCAUGGUUUUGAAACAUGGAGAUUAGUUUCAUAUUUUUAUGAAGGGUUAACACCUAAAGAUAGACAAAUGGUGGAAUUAAUGUGCAAUGGAACUUUUGAAGAUUAAGACCCUAAUGAAGCAAUGGAGUACCUAGACUUGCUAGCUAAAAAUGCUCAAAAUUAAGACACUACAGGCACUUAUGAGGCACCAAAUAAAACUCAACCUCAUACAUCUAGUGGAGGAAUGUACAACCUUAGGGAAGAUCAUGACCUCCAAGCCAUGUUUGCAUCUUUAGCUAGAAAAGUCGAGGCACUAGAAUUGAAAAAGAGUGGUCAAUGUUGCGAUGUCGCAGUCGCACAAAUUCCUUACCCUAGCUUCAAACACAACACACAAGAUAAUAUAGAGCAAGCAAGGGGUCGAUCCCACGAGGAAGGUUCAAGUCAGAUUUUUAUGCUAGAUGAUAUGCAAUUUAGGGGGGGUUGGACGUUAUCUAGGCUAAAGCAAAAAAAAAUAGAAAACUAUCAAGUGAAAUUAAAUAAAAUGAGAAAAUUAUCAAGAGAACAAACCUUGGUCGCAAGCACACAUCCACUUAUAGAAAUCAGAACUGAUCAUGGAAACGAAACUUCAAUUUAUAUUCUGAAUAUUUAUCUCUUUUUAACAUUGGUUAGUUAACGGAUCCACCGUAUAACUAACCCUAACCAUCAAACAACCACAGUGUGCGCACUAGUAAUUUAAUUCAAUGACAGCCUUAAGAACUAGAUAAGUUGAUUAAUCAAGAAAAGUCUAUAGUUUAAGUUUGAUUUGAUUGAAUGUUCUCCCUAAGAUUAAUAACGUAGAUCCGCCACAAUUAUUAAACUCAAUUGCUUCACAAGUUCAUAUACCACAACUCUGGUUUUGAUAUCAAACUUAGCAAUAGAUUGUCUACAAUAAUAACUUAGAGUCCGCUCUAGCAAUUAAAAUAAACAAUCAUAGGAAAAAUAAGCAUAGAAGAACAAACAUAUUCAUCAUAUAAACUGAAAAGAAAAGGUAAAAUAAAUCUCAUAGUUCUUGAAAUCCAAAGUUUUCUGUGUCCUUGCAACCAAGAAAAAAGAGUUUAGCCUUGCAUGUUUGUUGAACAGCUAAUAAAAAAGGAGGAAUGCAUGAUUUUGGGUUUCUUAGAGGAAGGGGGCGUUUUUCUCUUCUGUGCUGGCUGCCCCCCCUUCGUUUCUCUCAUUGUUUUUAUAUCCUAGGAAACCCUAGUCUCUAUUUUACAAAAUAGUCCUCCCUUAAGUAGACAGUUUACAUUUAAGUACUUCAAUAACUAUUUUCCUAAAAAAGGAGGAAUAACCUUGCAUGAAAUCUUCAAGCUUUGACUUAGAGGAGCUAAAUUGCUGAAAUAAAAACUUGGAUAUUGGUUUAGAUGCUUCAGAACGCAAUUUGGACUCGUUUCUUCACGAAACCUGUUUGCUGGCAGAAUUCAGAUGUCAUCUUUGAAAAAUCAUAUCUCCCUCAUAUGACAUCUUUUUUUGCUGAACUUUGGAGCAUUGAUAGGCAUUUGAGUCAAGAAUCCAAUAUAAUUGAGUUUGAAUCAAUUGGACUUCUUUAACUUUAGAUAUUCAACUCGGAAUGGCCAAAGGUCAACACUGGCAGAUUGCGAGAUUUGACUUUGAAGGCUAUGAUUUCCAUGCUCUUCCUUAUUUUAUUUUCUUGCCUUAGAUGUCCAGAAAGUUAUGGAUGUUAGUCUUUUAAUCCCACUAGAAUCAUUUCAUUUCGACCUCUAGAGCUCAUGCUCUGCACAAAAGAUCGACUGAAGGUCAAAUUUGUCAAUUACCUCUAAUUUACUCAUUUUUGCAUCUUUCAUCCAAAAGUGCCUUCAAAACAUAAAAUAAAGAAUAUGAAGGCAUUUUAUAUAUAAAACAUAGGCAAAACACUAGUUAAAUGUGGGUGAAACUAUCGAAUAAUUGCAUCACUUUACCACAAUCAAUUUUUAUAUUUGCAGUUUUCAAGAAUGGUCUCCCAAACAAUAUAGGAGUGUUGUUUGAUGAAUCACAAGAAUCAUGUUUCAUAUCAAGAAUAUAAAAGUCACAUGGAAUGACCAAACUAUCAAUCUUGACUAGGACAUCUUCUAUCACACCAAGUGGGUAAACAAAACUACAAUCCGCAAGUUGUAUUACAAUGCUAGUUUUAUUCAAAGGCUCUAGACUAAGAGAAUCAUAAACAUGUUUAGGCAUAACACUAAUGGAUGCACCUAAAUCGCACAAGGCCCUUUUGAAACUAGUAUUACCAAUAACACAUGGGAUAGUAAACACACCUGGGUCUUUUUGCUUCAAAGACAUAUUCUUUUGAACAACAGCAGAUACAACUUCACCCAUACUUACCAUUUCAUGACCUUUUAGUUUGAAAGCUCUCUUGGUAGUACACAACUCCUUCAAGAAUUUGGCAUACUUAGGAAUUUGCUUGAUAGCAUCAAGCAAAGGAAUGUUGAGUUCUACUUUCUUGAAAACCUCUAAAAUCUCUUUUUCUUUGUCCUCUUUCUUUGACCUAGAAGAACUCACAGGAAAGGGUGGAAUUGUUUUAAAACUGGAAUUCAUUGAGUGAGGAGUUACCUUUGGAGUGUUGGUCGAUGUUUCAGUUUGUGGAGGGGGAGGAUGUUCUUUCUUUGUACUCAAUUCAGUUUCUAUCUCUUCUUCUUUCUCCAUCUUAAUUUGUUUCGACGUUUUUGCUUCAAGUUCAUUCUCACUUCGCAGCAUGAUCGCACUAACAUUCUCUUUUGGAUUCAAUGCUUGGAAGGACAAUUUUCCAUUCAUUUGUGCUUCCAAUUUCCCCACACUUGAAGCUACUUGCCCCAUUUGCUUCUCCAAGUUGUGAAUACUUGACCUUGUUUCCUGUUGAAAAGACAUGACAUUUUGUUGCAAGGUCACAGUGUUAGAAGCCAAAGUUUUUAUCAUCUCAUGAAGAUCAUCACUGGAUGACGACCCCAUAACAUUGGAGUUUGUGAAUGGAAGGGGCUGUCUCGCUUGAUAAUUCUGUGGGGAUUGAAAUCCAUGGGGAUGGAAUUAUCGGCCUUGAUUGCCUUGUUGAGGUGGGUUCCCAUAGCAUAAGUUUGGAUGAUCUCUCCAUCCGGGAUUGUACGUGUUGGAAAAGGGAUCAUGUUUACGUUGGGGCUGUCCGUUAAAUCCUCUAUCAACUACAUGAACCUGUUCAAUGUAAUCUUCUUGCAUUGUUGGGCACAUAUCUGAGGUAUAUCCUUAUAAGGAACAUAUGCUACAAACUUUCACCUGCUGUACAUUUCCACAAGCCAAAGAACGCACAAGAGAAGUAAGAUCAUUAACUUUAUUUUCAAGGUUAGAAAUACUUACCUCAUUUACUCGUUUGUUUGCGAAGUCUCCACGCGUGCCAAAUUGUUUCGAGUUGGCUAGCUGCCAUGUUUGAGAUCAAUUGGCGUGCAGCCUCGGGUGUCUUAUCUAUCAAUGCCCCUCCACUUGCAGCAUCAAUGAUAGUAUGGUCAGAGGCAUGAAUCCUUCAUAGAAAUAUUGAAUGAGCAGCUGAUCGGGUAUUUGAUGAUGAGGGCAUUGAAUGCACAGUUGCUCAAAUCUUUCCCAAUACUCGGAAAAUGUCUCUCCAUGAGAUUUUCGAAUCCCACAUAUUUCUUUCCUUAUGUUGGCAACUCGAGAUGCUAGGAAAUACUUUUCAAGGAAAAUCUUCUUCAUGGCAUGCCAAGUUCCAAUGGAACCCGGGAGAAUAGAGAAAAACCAUGCAUUUGCUGCCCCUUUUAAAGAGAAAGGGAAAGCUUUCAACUUAACCUGUUCUUCAUCAACUCCAUUUGGUUUCAUGCCAACGCAAACCAUAUGGAACUCCUUGAGAUGAGUAUGAGGAUCGUCACCUGCAAGACCAUUGAAUGUUGGUAGCAAAUGUAUAAAACCAAAUUUGAGCUCAAAGUUUACAUUAUUGUCGAUGUUGAUGCACAAUGGUUGAUUUUCCACGUUAGGAGUAGCAAGCUCCUUGAGUGUUUGUUGUCGUUCAACAGCCAUGGUGCCAUGGUGUUGACGCGAGGUUCCUUUCGUAACCUGCGUAAAGUGUUUUCUAUUUCGAGAUCCACCUGCACUUGAAUCUGGUUAGUAGAACGGGUUACAAUCAUAAAUCGUCAAGAAAACUCAAAAGAAACCAACCACGCAAGAAAUCGAAAACAAUGCAAAUUGUACGAAAAUCCUAUGCUAGAAAACUAAAACUGCCUAAAAACCCUAGAAAACAAAGGAAUUUGACCUCGAUAGGGUGGGGCUAGUGGUGUACCACAAAUCCUUCUAAAUAUUUAUCUCUUCUUAACAUUGGUUAGUUAACGGAUCCGCCGUAUAACUAACCAUAACCAUCAAACAACCACAGUGUCCACACUAGUAAUUUAAUUCAAUGGCAGCCUUAAAAACUAGAUAAGUUGAUUAAUCAAGAAAAGUCCACAGUUUAUGUUUGAUUUGAUUGAAUGUUCUCCCUAAGAUUAAUAACGUAGAUCCGCCACAAUUAUUAAACUUAGUUGCUUCACAAGUUCAUAUACCACAACUCCGGUUUUGAUAUCAAACUUAGCAAUAGAUUGUCUACAAUAAUAACUUAGAGCCCGCUCUAACAAUUAAAAUAAACAAUCAUAGGAAAAAUAAGCAUAGGAGAACAAACAUAUUCAUCAUAUAAACUGAAAAGAAAAGGUAAAAUAAAUCUCACAGUUCUUGAAAUCCGAAGGUUUAUAUGUCCUUGCAACCAAGAAAAAGAGUUUAGCCUUGCAUGUUUGUUGAACACCUAUCAAAAAGAAGGAAUGCAUGAUUUUGGGUUUCUUAGAGGAAGGGGCGUUUUUAUCUUCUUUGCUGGCUGCCCCCUUGAUGCGAUCCAACCAUCAAAGGAUCUAUUGGAGGUUCCAAUUGGUCUAGUUACUAGGCUUAGGGCUAAGAAGUUCAAAUAAGCUUUCAAUGGACUUUUUCAAGAUACAUGGGCUAAGGUGGACUUCAAGAGGAUUUGUAAUAAUAAAGAGCAAGCCUUGAUUAAUCCGAUUCAUGUUCAAGAGGGGCUUGUUGGUGGAACCAAGACCAUUACACAAGGAUUGGGAGAAGAAGACUAGAUUUAGACAGUUUGACCUUUCGUUACUCUUUUAUCCACAGUUAGACUUCCAUACCUUUCCAACGAUAUAUGGCAUGCUUUCUAAUUCAUUAAGACGAGAGAGAACCAUCCAUUUUAAGUUGGGUUUUGCUGCUGCCAGACAGAAUGCGGAAACAACGAACUUGUCUUAUUUAAUUAGUUGGGCUAUCAAACUUUAAUUAUUUUGAGAGGAGACAAUUUGUUUGGGUUUUAGACUUUUUUAUUUUAAUUAUUUUGGGUUAGUUUUAGCUUGGGUUGAUUAUUAUUUAAAUUGGGUUUAUGUGAGACCCAUUAGGGAAACUAGGGUUUUGGCUUGGAGUUUAAAUACUCUUUAGGAAUAAUUUUAGGUUAGACUUUUGAUGAUAUUUUCAGCCUUGUAGCCGACUUUUGGUUGCUCAAUCUUGGUUCUUGAUUGAACUUUCAACUCUUCAAAGAAUUGACAAUUCUUUGUUGUGAAUUUAUACUUCCUUUACUCGUCUUCAAGUGUAGGCGUUGUGAUCGAGUUGGUUUAUAGUCUUGUUGCCUUGGAGUAAGUCUUCCAUUAUGAUAAGCUCAUUCAAAUCUCAACAAACUUGGGUUAGAUUGAUCUUGGGGUCGCGAAUACCAUUAAAUUUCGCUUGUGUGAAUUUACUUCCAUAUUCAGUUUUUCAAAGUCUCAAUCUAGGUGAAUUAAAACCAACUUAUGUAACUCUCUUACUUGCUGAUAGAUCUGUAAAAGUGCCUAGAGGAAUAGUUGAAGAUGUGUUAGUACAAGUUGAUAAAUUCAUUUAUCCUGUGGAUUUCAUUGUCUUCGAUACACAACUUGUUGAAGCAUGUAAUUCAUUUCCUAUUAUUUUAGGACGUCCAUUUCUUGCAACUUCUAAUGCAUUGAUUAAUUAUAGGAAUGGACUGAUGAAACUAUCAUUUGGAAAAUUGACAUUGGAGAUGAAUAUUUUCAACAUUUGCAAGCAACCUGGAGAUGAUAAUGAUUUACAGGAAGUGGACUUUAUUGAAAAAUUAGUUUAUGAUCAAUUUCAAACCACUUCCAGUGAAACUGAGAUUGAUGAAUCUGACGAUUUGCAAAUGGUUUAUUUUUAGGAAGAAUUAAAGGCAAAUAGUUGGAGACCAAAAAUUAAGGAAUUGCCACCACGAUCAAUUGAGUCCAUACCUUCAAGUGUUCAACCACCAAAACCUGAUUUGAAGUCGUUACCAUUCAAUCUCAAAUACUCAUUUUUGGGAGAAAAUGAAACUUUUCCGGUAAUAAUCUCUUCCAAACUUAAUGCACAUCACGAAGGUAAGUUAUUACAAACUCUGAAAAUGCACAAAAAUGCAUUAGGAUGCACCAUAACUAACAUAAAAGGAAUUAGUCCUUUGAUUUGCACACACAGGAUUUAUUUGGAGGAAAAUGCUAAAUCCUCUAGAGAAAUGCAACGAAGGCUUAAUUCUAAUAUGAAAGAAGUAGUGAAAAAUGAAGUCAUUAAGCUUCUAGAUAAUGGAAUCAUUUAUCCUAUUUCUGACAGCAAAUGGGUAAGUCUUACCCAAGUUGUACCCAAGAAGUCUGGAGUCAUUGUGAUAACAAAUGAGAAAAAUGAGUUAAUUCCAACUAGGACUAUUACUAGUUGGCGCAUGCGCAUUGACUAUAGGAAACUUAAUUCAAUGACUAGAAAAGUUCAUUUUCCUUUACCUUUCAUGGAUCAAAUCCCAGGAAGAGUUGCAGGUCAUGAAUUUUAUUGUUUCCUAGAUGGUUAUUCAGGCUACAACCAAAUUGAAAUUGCAUUGAAAGAUCAAGAGAAGACUACUUUCACAUGUCCAUUUGGUACUUUUGCAUAUCGAAGAAUGCCUUUUGGAUUAUGUAAUACACCAGCCACAUUUCAAAGAUGCAUGCUCAGUAUAUUUAGUGAUAUGGUUGAACGUUUUCUUGAAAUUUUUAUGGAUGAUUUUUCUGUUUUUGGCGAUUCAUUUGAUGAUUGUUUGACUAACUUAGAAAAGGUUUUGAGCAGGUGUGAAGAGAAGAAUCUUGUACUGAAUGGGAAAAAAUAUCACUUUAUGGUAACAAACGGCAUUGUACUUGUUCACAUUGUUUCAUCGAAAGGAAUUGAGGUUGACAAAUCUAAAAUCGAGUUAAUUGCUAACUUGCUAACACCAAAAUAUAUUAAAGAUGUUAGAUCGUUCUUAGGACAUGCUGGUUUUUAUAGAAGGUUCAUCAAAGAUUUUAGUGUAAUAUCUAAGCCCUUGAGUAACCUUCCUAACAAAGGAUAAUAUUUUUGAAUGGACUAAACAUUGUGAAGAAGCAUUUGUUAAACUUAAAAACUUGCUUACUCAUGCUCAUGUCAUUCAACCUCCUUAUUGGCCAUUACCUUUUGAAAUAAUGUGUGACGCUAGUGAUUAUGUCGUGGGUGCUGUCUUGGGACAUAGAAAAGAUAAGAAAUCUUAUGUGAUUUACUAUGCAAGUAAAAACUUUAAAUAGUGCUCAAAUGAAUUACACCACCACUGAAAAAGAAUUACUUGUAGUAGUAUUUGCAUGUGAAAAAUUCAGGUCUUAUCUUGUCGACUCACCUGUUGUUGUUUUUAGUGAUCAUGCAGCAUUGAAAUAUCUUCUUUCUAAGAAAGAUUCUAAGACUAGAUUGGUGCGGUGGAUUUUGUUACUUCAAGAAUUUGAUAUCACAAUCAAAGACAAGAAAGGCACCGAAAAUAUUGUCGCAGGUCAUUUGUCAAGAUUGAUAACAGAUUCGAGAUCUGACAUCACACCAAUCGAUGACUACUUUCCUGAUGAAUCUUUACUUUCCGUCUCUACAAUGCCUUGUUUGCUAAUAUUGUUAAUUUUCUUGUUUCAAGACAUUUGCCAGCUCAUUGGAGUACCCAAGACAAAAGAAAGUUCUUGAACAAAGUGAAGAACUUUUAUUGGGAUGACCUUUAUUUAUUCAAAUAUUGUCCUGAUCAAAUAUUUCGAAGAUGCAUUCCUGACAAUGAGGUAAGUAGUGUCAUUAAAUUUUAUCAUUCUGAGCAUGUGAGGGUCAUUUCUCAUCAAGAAAGACAACUCCAAAAAUCUUACAAAGUGGAUUUUACGGGCCCACCAUGUUCAAGGACUCACAUGCAUUAUGCAAGACUUGUGAAAAUUGUCAAAAGCUGAGAUCUAUUUCAAAAGGUCACAUAAUGCCUUUAAAUCCUAUUCUUGUCAUUGAGAUCUUUGAUUGUUGGGGUAUAGAUUUCAUGGGUCCAUUUCCUCCAUCAUUUGGUUUCUUGUACAUAUUAGUCGUAGUAGAUUAUGUUUCAAAAUGGAUAGAGGCAAUUCCAAGUCGAAACAAUGAUCACAAAACAGUGAUAAAGUUUUUGAAAGAAAAUAUUUUGAGUCGAUUUGGAAUCCCUCGAGCCAUGAUAAGUGAUGGUGGAACACAUUUCUGCAACAAGUCAUUUGAGUCUUUAAUGAAGAAAUAUGGAAUCACACACAAAGUUGCCACCCCUUAUCAUCCUCAGACAAGUGGACAAGUAGAACUUGCUAAUAAGGAGAUCAAACAGAUCUUGGAGAAAACAGUGAACCCUAAUAGGAAAGACUGGUCUUUUUAAUUAUACACUUUGGGUUUAUCGAACUGCUUAUAAAACAUCAUUAGAUAUGUCACCUUAUAGAUUAGUCUAUGGAAAACCUUGUCACUUGCCUGUGGAACUUCAAUAUAAAGCUUAUUGGGCUAUUAAAGCUUUUAAUUCAAACCUUGAUGAUGCUAGUCAGCUGUGAAAAUUACAAAUAAAUGAGCUUGAGGAAAUAAGAAAUGAUGCAUAUGAAAAUUCAAGAAUUCAUAAAGCAAGAAUCAAAGAGUUUCGUGACAAGAAAUUACUGAGAAAAACAUUCAAUAUUGGUCAAAAAGUCUUGCUUUAUAAUUCUCGACUCCAUUUAUUUCUUGGAAAACUAAGGUCAAGAUGGAGCGGUCCUUUUAUUGUGAAACAUGUGUAUCCAUAUGGGGCCUGUAAUAUCGAGAAUCCAAAGAAUGACAAUGUUUUCAAGGUAAAUGGGCAUUGUUUGAAAGUUUACUUUGACAAUUUUUCAGUUGAAAAUGACUCUAUUCAAUUGAGUGAUCCUGUAUAUAAAGAUUGAUUCUUUUUCUCACAUUGUUUUUAUGUUUCUUUUUGGUGUGAAUUUUGUUUUGCUAGUCUCUCUCACCCUGGUCAAAUGGCGGAUAACGGCACUCCGUGACUCUUAAGUCGGUUCUUUCAGUUUCCCAUAAUAACUUAUAUUUGUGUAUAUAUUUGUGCAAUUCUUUGCUCUUUCUCCUUUAUUUGCAUCUCUUCUCCAAUUCUCAUUUGAAAAUGGACACCACUCUUGAAAAUUGAAAAAGUAUUUUCUCGUUUUGCCUCCAAAUGCGAUUGCAAAAAUUUACCGUGCUAGGUGUGCAAGAUUAAGGUUGUUAAUGAAUCAUGGAAUUCUUGAAGAUAUUCACUGGCUAAUUGAAGCAAAGGUCUGAUUAUCAGGUGAGUCCUCCAAUUCUUUCAUUUCAUACAUACCUGGAACAGGUAAAAGUGCUUUUGCAAAGAAACGUUAUGCAAAACGACUGAAAGUCUGUCACAAAUGUGUCAGAUGGACUUGUAAUGCAACAUGUCGUUCUUUAGAAAUGGUAUUUGUAAACCGUUAAGAUAAAAUACAAUUCAUUAAGGAUGACCUAAGUAAGGGGUCUUUAGAUAAUCUUCUAUUGACUCUUGAGACGCAUCCUAGUGGAGAUGUGCAUCGUGCAAUUCAUGAUUUAUGGCCACAAUUCCAUAAAGAACAUGCUCGACAUAGUCUUGGGAAUCUGACUAAAAAAGACCAUGUUUGCCAGUUUUUAAGAAAACUGGAUGGGAAGCCUAUCCCUAACCCAUAGAGGGCAUUUAAGUCGUUCUUGGACGUAAAACCAAAGGAAGAUGUGAGCCACAAUCACAACUACCUGUACAUACACAUGCUUUUUUUUCAAAUAAUAAUAAUAAUAAUAAGAGAGAGAGAGAGAGAGUGAGACUCCAGCUAGCCUACAUAUAGGUGGUAUGAUUGCAUUUUCAAUUUCUCAUCUAUAAAAUCUUCUCUUCCUUCCCUUCAUUUCUACUCAACCAAUACAUCAAUAGAUAUAGAAGUGUGUAGAAAUGGCAGGUUCCUCAAGUCAUCACAUAAGAAAUAUUUAUGUUUUCGGUAGAUCCAGCCUUGGGAAAGAAAAAGAGUUUUUAGAAUCAAUAAAUCAUCUUGAUUAGGUACUAGCUCAAAGAAAGAUUCAUUUAGUGUAUGGGGGAGGCAGCCUUAGGUUAAUGGGGGGUGUCAAUAGCUGCAUUUUUAGGAGACAAUCAAGUUUUGGGGGUUGUCCCCAAAGCUUUAGCAAAAGGGGACAUAAUUGGAAAAACAAUUGGAGAGGAACUGCAGGUCUCCACAAUGUCUGAUCGAAUGAAUGCGAUGUUUAACCAUGCUGAUGCCUUCAUUGCUUUACCAGGUGGUCUGGGAACAUUAGAAGAGAUCUUUCAUAUUUCCUCUUGGGCCCAACUACACAUUCACCAUAAACUUAUAGGUUUGUUAAAUGUUAAUGGUUUUUAUGAUAAUUUGUUGUCUUUUCUUUAUCAAGCUGUGGAACAACAAUUUCUAACAUCUUCGGCACGAUAAAUCAUAAUCUCUAUUGUUACUACUGAACAAUUGAUUGACCAACUACAAUUUUUUCAUCCCUGUAAUUGAUCCCUACAUGAGUCGUAUAAAUUGGUCAAUUAAGGAAAGCCGUAAAAAGCUUAGAUUGGAUUUGAGCUUUCGUUUGUGAAACCUUGUGUCCUUUGGUUUUAUUAAUAGCAUAUUAUUUUGUUUUGUUAUUUCUUAUAUUUGUUUAAGUGUGUUUCAGGUUUGUUAGUGUUCGAUGUUUCAGGUGAUGUCUUCUAUACUCUAUCUUUCUACCUUAUGACAUUGAAGACAAUGUCACGUUUUGGUUGGGGGGAGAGGGUAGUAGUUGACAUAAAAAAAAACUAACUUACUAACUAUUUUUACUAUUAUUAAAACCAUUUGACAGAACUGUUAUUAGGAUGGCAGAGUAAGGAGGAAUUUUAUUAACUCUUGAAAUGCAUCUUAAUAAAUAUUCUUAUCAAGGUCUAUCAGAAUACUUAUUAAAAUAUUCAGGUUUACAAACUCUCGUAUUGUUAUCACUUGAUUAUGCUCAUAUACUCAUUUAACAAGUAUUCUUAAACCUUCAUUUUCACACACACACUUUAACAUAUGAUUGUGGGUUGCACAUUGGAUUAUUAUAUUAUUUAUGUUCUUUUGUUAAAGGUAACAACUAAGGGAAAGGGAUAGUAUAUAAUUUGCAAAAAAAAAAAACACAAACAAAUUGAUAAUAUUGAUGAUAAUAAAAACGUAGAUAAGUUUGGUUUCGUAGCCUCCCUAACUUAAAACAAUUAAGCCCGAAUGGGUGUUUUAACACCUAAUACCCUAAAGUCAACUGAUUUGGGAGCUAUUGGCCCAAAGUUUGUUACAUGGGUUAAGGAGAAAAGCUUAAGGGAAUGAAACAUUGCACUAUCUACGUAUCAGUAUCUACAACCCGAGUUACUAAGCUCGUAGGGGUGUCUCAACACCUAAUGCCCUAAGACUAACUGGUCUGGGAGUCAUUAGCCGAAAGCUCGUUAUAUGGGUUAAAGAUGCAUUAUGUUUUAUGUUUUAAGUUAUAUAUAUAUAUAUUUAAAAAAAGAGAGAAAAAAAAAAGAUAAUAAUCUUAACCCAAGGAAGUUAACCUUAAACAUUAGAACAUAAUAUUGUUUUCUUCCAAUAAAAGCCUCAUCAUCUAUGUUUUCAUACAUUGGGCACAUAAAAAGGAAGGUUUAUUAAUAUUUUGUUUAAGAGGUAUUGAGCAGAUAUAUAAAUUUAAUGAGAGUUUGUUUAUUUGAAUAGAUUAAUGGAAGUUGAAUGAUGAAUGCCUUGCUUUGUGGAACUUGCAAAUUGUUUUUCUAUUUUAACACUUUAAUUACUAGGGACUAGUAAUAAGCUAGUUGGGGGGUGCGAUUAGUACUUAAAAGUGCAUUUUUAUCAAGGUUUUAUAUCAUUAUUUUGCACUUGAAGUAUCAAUAACUCAUUAACUAGAGCAUGUUUUAUAAUAUCAUGUCUAAUACUAUAAGAUACCUUUAAUUUAUGGUAAAUGUUCAUCUUAAAUACAGGCCUAUCACAUAAAUGAAGGGAUUGAUUGAUGAGUUUAACUACUGAAAUUGAGAAGACAAGGAGAGGGCUAAACGUAGAAAAGAGAUGCUGGUUCAUUCCAAACUAAAACAAUGUUCAGUCAUUAGGUCAUAUCCGGAGAUGUAGAUCUUGGAUUUCAGUUUGGUUUAUAUGGCUAGAAAGCUAAGACAUAGGCCUAAAAGAUUUAGGAACAGUCCAAGACUCAAUUAUGCUAUUUGGAAGUCCAAAUCUUAGCAUCAAAAGAGAAGUCUGAAUCUGUCCUGCAGCCCAGAUAUUGUUCAGUGUUCAGCCCAUAUCUCAAGUUCUAGAAGUCCAAAUGCACUGUUUCUUUUUCUGUUGGAAAGCUGAGAUAAUUUCCUAGAACUUUCAUGAAGACAGUCUGUUCAAAUUCUUACGUUAGCAAUGACGUUUUGUUCAGACAAGAAGAUAAUGAUUGUCACCAAGUCAAGAUGUGGCCACCCACUCAACAAUUAGUCAUCAAAUCAAUAGUUCCAAAUUCUGGCCUAUAAAAGGAGGCAUUUGUCAUGCAUUUAGGCAUCUUGGUUUUCAUAUCAAGAUCAUUUCCUUACUUGCAUUUUUUCUUUGUAGUUUUAAUGUUCUAGUUUUAUUUCAUGUUAUAGUUUCAUUAAUAUCUUGUUUAUGCCUUUCAUUUCCUUUACUAUACUUAUAUAAUCAUGUUCUCCUCUUGUUUAUUUAUGUUUCUCUUCUUCAAUAUGUUUAGUUAAGUUUAUUAUGUCAAGGUGAAAAGGUUUCAUUAAUGGUGUUAGGAUAAGUAUAAUAUAAACUCAAUAUGGACUUCAAUGAUUAUAUCUUAAACAACCUACUAUUAACAUGUCUUAUUAUUUUUAUCUUAUUAAUUCUUAAUACCUUGCUUGUUAAAUAGUUAAUCUAAAUUUGUGUUGUAUGACACUUGGCACAACAAAUACUUGGCACUUUCAUAGCCAACCGUAUGGUAUAACCUACACCUAUGCUAUGAAAGGAACUUGAUUUGUUAUUAACAUAAGUUAGCAUCAUGAAUUCCUGACAAUAUUUAAAAGUUUGGUGUUACUUAAAUAAGAUAAUUAAUAUGAUCAUGUUAAUAAUUUAUAAUGAGCUAUUAAUGACAAAUCAUCUGAUUGGAACCUCCUUUGUGUGUGGUUUCUAGUUGAGUAAUAAAAAGAGUUUAUAUUAUACUUAUUUGAAAUAACAUUAGUGGAUCCUCUAACCUUGACAACUGUUUUUAUCAUUGUUUAAUCUUCACAUUAAUCUUACAUCUCAAAGUCCUCUUUAACUCAUCAUCACCACCACCACCACCAUCAUCAUCAUCAUCAUUUAUAAUUUAUAUAGUUAAUCUCCCUAUGGUUCAACCUCGGUCUUGCCGGGUUAUUUAUUACUUCGACACUUCUACACUUGGAAGAAGACAUCAAUCUUUUGGUCGUGUCAGCAAUUCAUAAUGUUUUAAAGAAAAAAAACUACAAUGUUAAAUUUUCAACCAACUCAAUAUUAAAAAAAUAAAAUCAACAAAGAUAAUUUUGGAAAAAAUCAUAAAAAAAAACAAAAAAAAUCAUGAAAAAAACAAAGCAAAAAAAAACAAAAAAAACCAUGUAGGGAAACACUGUAGCAAUCCACAAUGUUUUAAAGGAAAAAAACUACAAAGCUAAAUUCUCAACCAACUCAAUAUUAAAAAAAUAAAAUCGACAAAGAUUAUUUUGAAAAAAAUCAUUUUAAAAAAUAGCUCCAACUCAUCCCACACAACACCAUAACAUUUCAACCACCACCAUAGACUAAGCAACAACAUAAACAAAAACUAGAAGCACAACCCCAUCCUCCACUCUUUCCUUUCCCGUGAUCACCUUCUUUCUCGCUACCAACCGAAGAGUGCUACAAUACUCGCUUCAUAUAGCGAGUACUGUUCAUAGUGUUAGAAUGGGUAGCCAAAUAGAGAGUAACAAUGUUAUUUUUUUUUCCACUCAUACAGUCAUACUAACUAUUAUAGCUCAGAUAAAGUUGAAGCCAUCCUUGCUAAAGCACAAGCAACACCCAAUGGAAUUGUCAUUGUGUCAUAGUAUAUUUAAAAGAGUAGGGGAGUUGAGGUGAGUUUUUUUACUUGGAUUGUGAUUGUGAUGUAGUUGCAUUGGUAUUUAAAAUCUCAUCUAAAAGAGAGAUAUUCCUUAGAUUAGUUGUUUUUAUAUGUUUUAAGUUUGUUAAUUUUUAGUUAAUGAAAUUUUAUGGACACAAUUGUAUUGUAUUUUUAAGUUAUUUAAACUAUGUAUGAAUUUUUAUUUGAAUUAUGUAUUUUAAGGUGUUAGGACUUCUAUAUUGUUUAUUUAACUUUUUAUUUUAAUUAUGCUAUAUUAUUAUUUAUUAUUUGACUGAAAUUAUCAAUAUAUAAUUAGUUAAAAUAUUUUACCUACGAUUUUACUAUUCAAGUUUAUAUUGUAUAUUCCGUGUCAUGUCAAAAAAAACAUUUUUGACAACUUCGGACUUAACAAUUCAUGUAAAAAAAAUUUUCUUGAUGUUUAAUAUUUUUUUUCCUACCCUAAAUGCGAGCAUGGAAUCUCCAAAUUAAGCAGCUCCAUCUUUUUCAUUGCAAAUUCAGUCGUUUUCAAAACCACAUCAAAUCUUGAAUUUUGCUAUUUCAACACCUUUAUUUUUGAAUUUGGAAUUACGUUUAAAAUAUUUAACUUGAAAAAACAUUAAAUUUGUAUUUUUUUAGUGUUUUCAAGUAAAAAACACUUCGCACUAAAAUACUAAAUACUAAAUACGCACAAAAACAUAGUUUGUUUUUGGAUAUGCAAAAUUGCUUCCCCUCGUUUCUCAUCAGCCAAGAAAACUACAAUAGCAUAUGAUAUAAAAGAUUAGCACACAUGACAAAUUCCCCUCAACAAAUUAUUAAGACUUUUACUUCUUUUGAAAACAGUCUCAAAAUAACAGUACUAGUCUAAAGUUUCAUGUAAAUUUUUUUUCUUGAUGUUUAAUAUUUUUUUUCCUACCCUAAAUGCGAGCAUGGAAUCUCCAAAUUAAGCAGCUCCAUCUUUUUCAUUGCAAAUUCUGUCGUUUUCAAAACCACAUCAAAUCUUGAAUUUUGCUACUUCGACACCUUUAUUUUUGAAUUUGGAAUUACGUUUAAAAUAUUUAACUUGAAAAAACAUUAAAUUUGUAUUUUUUUAGUGCUUUCAAGUAAAAAACACUUCGCACUAAAAUACUAAAUACGCACAAAAACAUAGUUUGUUUUUGGAUAUGCAAAAUUGCUUCCCCUCGUUUCUCAUCUGCCAAGAAAACUACAAUAGCACAUAAUAUAAAAGAUUAGCACACAUUACAAAUUUCCCUCAACAAAUUAUUAAGACUUUUACUUCUUUUGAAAACAGUCUCAAAAUAACAGUACUAGUCUAAAGUUGAGAGAACAUACCUGUCAAAAUCAUCAAUUACUCUCUCCCUUGCCUAUUAAAAGUUUAUAUGCCUUUGAAGUUUGAACCAUACCUCAAAAAACUAGUCUAAUCCAACCCUAAAAUAGCCCAUACCAUGAAGCCAAUCUUGCACAUACCUCAUUUUUUAUUUAACAGUUAUUUACAAAAAAAAAAUGGUAAAUUUUAUUUUAAUCCUUAUAGAUUCUAAAAUGUUCAACUUUAAUGAAUAUAGUUUAAAGCCCUUUCAUAUCAAUCUCAUAAUUCUAAAAAAAUUUCAUUAUAAUCAUGGUUGUUAAAUUAGUAAGAGAAGCGAAAGACCAUUUUUUUGGAUUUUCCCACUUGAGCUUUUACAAGAGAAGCGAAAGAAAUAGGAAAAAGAGAAAUUAAGACAAACAAAAAAAUAUAUUUAAAAAAUAAGGUUAAUUUCACUAAGUCUCCUAUAAUUUAAAUAUUCUCUUAAUUUACCAUGUUUUUCAAGAAAAUAUAUUCUUCAAUUCAUAAAACUUUAUAUUUUCAUGUUAACUCAUUGUUUGUUAACAAAUUUGUUGUUAUUAUUAUUGAAAAAUUCAAAGCUUGUAAGUAAAAUAAAAAACACAAAAUCAAAAAUAAAAUCAAUCAUGCUUCCACACUUACUCCACUAAAAUACCCAAUUAAAACUCCUUUACUCAAAAGCUCAUUUUCUAACCUCAAUCUAGAAAAAAUAAAAAUAAAAAUUAAGUACUUUCCUCUUUCUAUCCUUAUCUCACAUUUAAGUUCUCUCCCUCUUCGCUAACUGUCCUUCUCUGCAAAAUCCCAAAAACCCUAGGGCCCUUUCUGUAUUUUCAACACUCCCAAAAACUAAAAAAAACUUCCUCAUUUUUUUUUUUUUUAAAUCUCAAUUUCCAUAAGUUAGGGGUUUUUACAUUUCCAUACGGUUCAGUCACAAUUACACAUUGAUAGAUUAGGAUUAGAUAGCGAGAGUUCAAAUAAACCGAAAGAAAGACGCAAAUCGUGACCGUUAGGUUUUUUUUGGAUCUGAUCAUGGACGCACGAGAUUCGACAUCGAACCGAGACGUCUCGUCGAGCGGCGGCAGCGGCACCACCACCGGCGUCGGAGGAGGAGAAGAGGAUCCUAUCCUUUCCGUCACUGCCACGCUUGCCAAAGACGCUUGGUUACACUUUAACUCUCGCCGGUUCAAUGAGUGCCUCGAGGUUUUGUAUCAGCUAAAGCAGAAAAAGGAAGACGAUCCAAAGGUGAUAAUUACACAAAUAAUAUAAAGUCACUUUUUUUUUGUCGGAUUUUAUCUGAUUAGAAAUUAAGUUUACUUCGAGUAAAAUGUUGUAAUGGACUGUUAAUUUUGUGAUUUAACUCACUUAAUUGAGUUGCUGCCUUUUAAUUUUAAUGAAUUUUGAUUAAGUUAGUUAAUUAUUCACUCACUUAAUUUAGUUGCUACUUUUUAUUUCUUAGUAUUUUUUUAGAUUAAGUUAGUUAAUUAACUUGAAAAGCUUAAUUUUGCACUUUAUUUAGUUAGUUCAAAUUUAAGGACAGUAUCUAGGCGGGCACGCGAAUGCUGAAGUUAUGCAAUGUAUUAGGGUAUUUGGAAUAUGUAAUUGAUGUGAGAAUUUUCUCUUCUUUUCGUUUUUUCUCGUUCCUUUUAAGUUUGUAAUCUCUGGGUUAUGCUUUAUUAGGUACUUCGUAAUAUUGCUAUUGCGGAGUAUAGUAGAGAUGGUUAUCCAGAUCCAAAGAAGUUGCUUGAAGUGCUUAAUAACAUUGAGGUAUGUUAUUUUUGUUAUGUUUUUGUAAUAUUGGCUGGAGGGAGGCAGUGCUAUUAGUUUGGUUUUGGCUCUGUGUGAAGAUGGGUUUGUUCUUUAAUUAUCAGAGGAUAGAGAUUUCAAAGGGAAAAAUUAUGUUGCUGAAUUGAAUUUUACAUGCAAUGCAUUAGGGUAUUUGGAAUAUGUAAGGACAGUAUCUAGGCGGGCACACGAAUGCUGAAGUUAUGCAAUGUAUUAGGGUAUUUGGAAUAUGUAAUUGAUAUGAGAAUUUUCUCUUCUUUUCGUUUUUUCUCGUUCCUUUUAAGUUUGUAAUCUCUGGGUUAUGCUUUAUUAGGUGCUUCAUAAUAUUGCUAUUGCGGAGUAUAGUAGAGAUGGUUAUCCAGAUCCAAAGAAGUUGCUUGAAGUGCUUAAUAACAUUGAGGUAUGUUAUUUUUGUUAUGUUUUUGUAAUAUUGGCUGGAGGGAGGCAGUGCUAUUAGUUUGGUUUUGGCUCUGUGUGAAGAUGGGUUUGUUCUUUAAUUAUCAGAGGAUAGUGAUUUCGAAGGGAAAAAUUAUGUUGCUGAAUUGAAUUUUACAUGUUAGAUUUUGAGAGCAAGAGAUUUCUAGUGGUGCUGCAGUCUAUACAUUUAGUUCAUUGUGGAAGGAUGCUAUGUACAGUCAUAAGAAUCUGCUCCUGCUUUCACAGUAGCAAUCACGGGUAUAAUUUACGUGUAUAACAAGUGUUCAGCAUUGCAGAGGUCAUCUCUGAGACACACUUGGAGUUGUGGGCAUUGGAUAGUUUUAUAUGAUAGUUAUUUCUUUGAUAAUUUACGUGUGCAUAUUUUAUUGUAUUGAAAUUCAAUGGAGUAAUUUGGUCUGUCAUUUCAGUCUUGUAUUAGUAUCAUACUGUCAUUGUUUGUUUCUGUUGAUUUCUUGAGCUAGAUAUGGUCUUCUAUCCUGCCAUAUGUAAGUUGGAAAGCUGUUAACUCAGUAAUGUAUUUACUAGAUUGUAUUUUUAUGCCAUUGAAAAUGAUCCUGGAAUUGCUUACUUGAAUCCUAAUCAUGUUUGCAUCAAUGUAUAAAUAGAUUAUUUUGGGAAUGAAUUACCAUCUCAUAAUACCCAUUUAGGUAUCUGCUUCAAUCUAUUAACAAUGUACCACCUGGAUGUUUUCCCUACUAUGCUGUGUUUGGAAUUUUCUGUGAGCUGGUAUGAUACUAAAAGAAAUCCAUUCCAACCCAUUUCAUUUUUUGAUACCUCCCUCUUCUUCGUCCCUUAAUAUUCAAUUUCAAUUUUUUUUCUAUCAAAUUCAAUCUACAUUCUUUUAAUUGUUAUUUCUUUUGUUUUGGAUACUUUUUUUAUUCAAUUUCACCCCUCAAUAUUUUAUUUAUUUAGAAUUUUGCUUUGUUAUUUUUAGGGUUUGCCAUAUUGUGAAAAGAAUCACAAUGAUAAUAAAAGGGGGGGGGGGAGUCCAAAUGUGGGCUAAAUGCCUGUUUCCGAAAGAAGAAAAAGUCCUAAAGUCACACGUACCAAUUGAAGGGACGGUGGGCCGAGUCACAAUAAUUUUAAUUCUAGUAUAGUAUUUAACAUCAACCAUGGAUCCUAAAGGCUAAAGUCCAUAUAUAUAUACUCAUAAGAAAAAAAAAAAAAACUAUCGUGCUUGCCUAUCUCCUUAAAAGUUUCGAAUCCUUAAACAAAGUGUUUGCCUUUUAGGUCCAAUUAGGGUUUUGGGUUUGCUUCCAAGCCCAAAAUCGAUCUCUCUCUAGUUUGUUUGCCUCCAUUCAUUCGUAUCAGUGGUUGUCUGCAUAGCAUGUUGAAAAUAUUCUGUAUGAGUAUAUCUCCUUGCAAUUUAAAUUGUCCAUGCUUCCUGCAUGAAAUCCAUUUGUGAUAUCACCACAUUGAAAUUAGUAUUUUAUGCCGUGUUCAAAUCUUAUAAUAAAUGUGCAGUCACGUUUCAUUUUGCUGUAUAAAGUAGGAAUUCUUUUUUUUUUAACCAGAUUGCAACACUUGAAGAGAAUAAUCAGCUGAUGACACCUCCAGAAAACCAGAUGGCAACCCUUGAAGACAAUAAUCACUUGAUUACUACUCCAGAAUACCAGCUGGCAACCCUUGAAGAGAAUAACCAGCUGAUUACUACUCCAGAAUACCAGAUGGAAACAUUUGAAGAAAACAAUCAUUCUAUGCCUGCUCCUGAAACACAGCCUAACAAGAGGAGGAAAAGGAAGUCCAUGGUUUGGGAACACUUCACCAUAGAAACUGUAAGUGCUGAUAGUAGAAGGGCAUUCUGUAAGCAGUGCAAGCAAAGCUUUGCAUACAGCACAGGUUCAAAAGUAGCUGGUACCAGCCAUCUUAAACGUCACAUUGCCAAGGGAACUUGUCUAGCACUACUACGCAAUCAGGGGAAUCAACAAACACCUGGUACACCAGGGAUGAAUGGAAAUGGCAGUAUGUCUGAUCCACCAAGACGUCACUACAGAUCCCAUAGCUCAGCCUACAUUUCAUUUGAUUCAGACCGUUGCCGCCCUGAAAUUGCCAGAAUGAUGAUAAUCCAUGAUUACCCUCUUCACAUGGUCGAACAUUCUGGAUUUGUAACUUUUCUCAAGACUCUUGAACCCAGAUUUGACAUGGUGAGCUUUAAUAUUGUCCAAGGAGAUUGUGUCUCAAGUUACUUGAGGGAAAAGCAAAAUGUUAUGAAGUUCAUUGAGGGUUUGCCCGGACGUGUUUGCCUUACACUGGAUGUAUGGACAUCUAGCCAAAGCUUAGGUUAUGUGUUUAUAACAGGACACUUCAUUGAUGGUUAUUGGAAGCCACAGAGGCGGAUUCUCAAUGUUGUGAUGGAACCGAACCCUAACUCAGAUGCAGCUCUUAGCCAUGCUGUUGCUACUUGCCUAUCUGAUUGGAGUUUGGAAGGCAAGCUAUUUUCUAUCACUUUCAAUCAUCCAGUGGGUGAACCUGGGCUUCAAAACCUCAGAUCUCUACUCUCUGUAAAAAAUCCCCUUAUCAUCAAUGGUCAGUUAAUCCUUGGGAACUGCAGUGCUCGUACUUUAAGCAACUUUGCAAAAGAAGUGCUAUGGGCAGGGCGAGAGAUCAUUAAGAAAGUCCGUUACAGUGUAAAGUAUGUGAAGACCUCAGAAUUUCAUGAGCAAAAGUUCCUUGAGCUCAAGGAACAGCUUCAAGUCCCCAGUGAAAAAGACCUAUCUCUUGACAACCAAGCUCAAUGGAACACAACGUAUCAGAUGCUGGUUGCUGCUUCAGAGUUGAAGGAAGUAUUUUCUUGCCUAGAUACUUCCGAUCCUGAUUACAAAGAGGCUCCAUCCAUGGAAGACUGGAAGCGGGUUGACAUUCUAUGCACGUACUUGAAACCUCUUUUUGAUGCAGCCAACUUCCUUGCCUCUAGAACUAACCCAAACCAGAAGACAUUCUUCCACGAAGUCUGGAAGAUGCAUGAGCUGUAUCAUUCUAUUACAAGUCAUGGGGAUCCCUUUGUCAUCAGUCUUGCUGAAAUAAUGCAAGAAAAGAUAGACAAAUAUUUGAAGGAGUGCAUCCUAUCUUUGGCAAUUGCUGUAGUCUUGGAUCCUCGGUUUAGGAUGAAGUUGAUCGAGUUCAGUUUUGUGAAAUUCUAUGGUAAAGAAGCUAGCAAAUACAUUAAGAUUGUUGAUGAUGCGCUCCAUGAGCUUUUUCUCGAAUAUGCGGCGCUUCCUUUCCCUCUUACGCCAGCUCACGCUGAAGAUGGAAAUUUUGAGAACAUGAAGACUGAAGAAAUUUCAUACAAUGAGCUCACAGAUUUUGAUGCGUAUGUGGAGACUACUAGCCAAAAUAAGAAGUCGGAGCUGGAGCAGUAUUUAGAAGAGUCUUUGUUGCCUCGCUUCCAAGAGAUGGAUGUACUGAAAUGGUGGGAAGAGAACAAGCUCCAGUAUCCAGUUCUUUCAACAAUGGCUCGUGAUAUAUUGACCAUGCAGGUGUCUACUGCUGAUCCUGAUUCUGUAUUUGAUACCGAGAUCAAAGAGCUGGAUGAGUAUCGGAGUUCUUUGAGACCUGAAACCGUGGAAGCCCUUGUAUGUGCAAAGGACUGGCUUCAGUACAGAUCUGCUACAGAAGUUUCUAAUGCUCUUGUGAAAGUAGAGGAUCUUAGAUCUUAGUGCUCAGUGUCUCUGACUAUAGGUUCCUUGUUAGUCUCGAUUAUAAUCUUCUACUUCUACAUUAGGCUAGAUUUUGAUCUAGAUUGCUUGAACACGAGAACUUCAGUUUUUACAGUAGCUUUUCUGAUUCUAUGAGUUCCUUGUACUUUGUUUGCUGUGGCUUAGCAAUUAUCUAUUGUCAAGGCUAAAUAUUAACAGGUGCUGGGACUAAUUAUUGAUGUCCAGCUAACCACAUAAUUGAGAAUCAAACCUGUAACAGGAGAAACAAAGGCUAUGAGGGUGCUCUCUUUUUCAUUUGACCACAAAUUGGAAAUUUCCUGUUCUAUUUUAGGUUACAGGCAAAUCCUUUUUCUUUUAGAUCAUACAUUCAUUGAAAUUAUGGUUGAUUUGUCAUUGCAUCUUUUUUUAGGAAUUGAAGACAGAAGAGAGAGAAGCAAGGAAGGCCAAGUCGGGUGAGAAAAACUACUGAUUUUGAUUUUUCAUCUUCCGGGUCUCUUUGAAUUAAUAGAAAAUGGAAUCUUUGAAUCUAUUAAUAUCAGAUAUAUUGUUUCUUGGGUUUUUGUUUUUUGGAGUGAAAUGAAUGUUAGCGAGGAUCUAUUUCUUGAAAUUUACAUUUGAGUGUUUGUAGUGGUGAUGCUUUUUUAACCAAUUCAUAAUUUAUUUAGUAAUUUUUCUUAAACUUCUCCUUUAUAAAUUGCAGGUUAGAGUCUGUAGAGAAAAGUCGAAUAUAUAUGCUAUAAAGAAGCUUGAGAAAUUAGUGAUGCUUUGUUGAGGCCAGGUAUGUGAUUUUGUUAAGCUUUCCUAACAAUUUUAUUGGAUUCUUUUUCAUUAUAUGCUUAUUUCCGAUUUGGAUCUAAAUGUUCAAGUUAGACAUUUGAAAGUAGAAAUGAUUCACAAAUUAUUUUAGAUUGAAGUUCAAUUCGACAGAUAAGCCAGGGUUUGAGCACAUCUAUGACUACAGUUUAAAUAGACUUUGAAAUAUGAUUUUGAAUCUUUCCGGGGAGUGAUUUUUUUAUCGUUCACAAUUUUAAUUUUUUUUCAGUUUUCAUGGAUUAUUUUUGAGAUAAUAAUGAAGGCAAUGUGAAUCAAAACUUUUAGUGUCAUUGUCAAUUAUAACCUUAGUUUAAUAUUCUUUGAUUCUAAUUACUACUGGUAUAUUUAUUGGUUUUUUCCCUUUUUGUCUCUGAUAUGUCUUUUGGUUAUUGUGCCCAUAAUUAUUUUACAAUGAACCAUCCAGGAUUAAAUUAUUGCAUUAUCCAGUGGCUCUUAAUCAACCAUUUUUUUAAAGUUUUUUUUCUUCCAUAAGUGGAUGGUAUUCAGGUGGGAGUGUUCAUAUUGUUGAAAUAUUUGACUCAGUGUUCUACUGUCUCUAUAUUAUAAGAGUGCAGUGCUUUAGGUAUUUUCAUUCGAGUGAAUAAGUUUCAUAUAUUACAUGAAAAUUUUUUUUUAUGUCCUCAUCUUGCCUUUUCACAAUUUGGUUUUUUUGUUCUAAUAGCUGGAGGUGCUAGGUGUGCUGUUAUUUGUGCAUGGUUUUAAUCAACUCCUUAUAGGGACCUAUACUCCAUAAGUUUGAUACGCUUUUUUUUUUUUUUUUUCACAUGUUGCAAUGUUGUUUUGCUUUCUCCUGUUUUGAGAAUUCAACAGAAUUUAUACUUUUGAAUUUAGCCUUUGAAAAUGACAUCACUUUUAGAUCCAUAUGCACAAGAUAUAUAUACUUGAUAAAAGAAAAAUUGGGGGGAGGGGGGGUUUUAAUGAAAUUAAUAAAAGAUGUAGGCCUUGACUAUUUCUUUUCAUACAUUUGAAGUUUUUUUUUUGUGUUGGUUAUUUCAAUGGUUUGUUUUUCAGUUUCGUCUUUUUACACCUUUGAAUUUGGAAUUAAGAAGAAAAGAGUGAGAAACGUAAAUUAUCUUAGUUGCCUUUCUGGUAUUAUUUCUAAAGGAUUAAAAUUUCUUUAUUGAAACGGGGCAACUAAGAUUUGACUGUAGCCUGUUUUGUUAAAUGCAACUGUACAGGUAAUAAUCUAGAUCUCAACUCUAUUGACUGCCAUUGCAUAUUUGAUUCAUUUUUGUUUACCUUUUCAUUUUUCUUAUACCUUCGGUCCACAAUAAUUUACUACUAAAUCAACUACAGCACCUUGCUCUCUUUUUUCUGGUCUUUGGCUGUUGAGAUAACCAUAUUUCAUAUGCUAUCUCACUACCAAGUUUUGCGUAGGCUUCUAACUUUUUACAACAUGCUGUACCUAGCUUUAAUUGGUUAGGCUUAACUAUUGGCUUGACAACUAACUUGCCUAGCAUUCUUUUUCUUUAAUCCAUAUCACUUUAGCUAGAUCAAUUACUUUGAUGGAUUAUGGCUUCUCAAGUUUAUGCUUUACCAUAUCUGUUUUUCUGGCAUAAUUUAUCCAUUGCUUCUGCUGGUUUAGGACUGUGCUGUCAGUUUCUCUUGCUCAAAAUCUUUCAAGUCCUAAUAAGUUAUUUAAGCCUUUCUAAGAAAUUUCCAUUUAUCUUACUUGAUAACCAUGAUUGCAAUUAUAUUUGUUUCCAUGUUGUAUUCUCAUUUCUGAUAUUACAAGAAAACAUUCUAUAGACUUGCUUUAUUGGCAAUUCUGUAUGUUUUUGCAGGCUCUAUGCUGCUUUGGAUUAGUAUUAUUUAAUAAUAAUUUAUCUAUUAAGUCAACCAUGUUUUUUUAUGUCUCUGCUUUUAGUUUGGUGGCAUUAGGUUUUUGGAUAUUGGUUGAAUAUCAAAUGAUUUGUAUUUGAAUUGUGUUUUGUGGUUUCAUUGCUCUAUUAUGCAAUGAGAAAUUAAUAGAAUGCAUGGUGGAAUCUUUGUUUUGAUCUGUCGAACAAUUGUUUUUAAGCUUUAACGAAUCAGAGGAUCAACAUGCUCUUGAUAUUUUUGGUGUCAUUGAUGAUUUAAUUUCAUUUCCGGUUCUUUUUGUAUGCCAUAGAAUUAAUUAUAUUUGUUUUGUGAUGACAUACAUUGAAAUCUUUUAUCCUUGAGAUCUUUUCAAAGAAAUACGAAGCUUCUAAUUUUUUUGCUCAAACUUUUUUAUUUUAGUUGCUUGAUGAUUCAUUUUUCAUUUACAGGACAUGUAGCCAUGGACGGUCAUGCCAUGCAUGCACUGGAUAUUGUUUUGCAGCUUUUGCUAAAACUCUCUUCCUUUAACAGCAUUCAACUUGACUCUUGCUAGCACUGCUAUAUGCAACUCUUUUUAAUUUAUUAAGCGCUUCUUUGUUCUAGAAUCAUUGGAUGACAAAUAUUUUUAAUUAAAGAUAUUAUUGCUUAACCACUGCAUUCAUUGCCUUUUAAUGAAUCUAGAUCCUACUUGCAUGCUAGGAAAGUUCUUCAUUUUCCCUCUUGCAAUGUGAUUUAGGUUUCAUGAAUUUAUAAUUGGCAAGAAAGCUGCAGCAGGAUUGCCCGCAGCAGCGCGCGGGCAAUCGAACCAGUAUUACGUUAAACGUGAUAAAUUAUAUUCUAAGACAAAAAAAAAAGAAGUUAAAAUCAAUAAAACAAACUUACUUGCUGGACUAUUUUCUCUUGUCCUUGCAAGCCGUGGUUUUAUGUUGUGGCUUAAGAUGUGCCUCAACUCUGCUUGGAUCCAACCACUUUAGAGGAUGGAGAUUGAAAAACAUUCAAUGAGGGACCAUAACCUGUAAGGUUAAAAACACUCCACAUGAGAAAAUUAGCACCGUCGUUUGAAACAAUCUAAAACCAAAGCACCACAAAAACCUUCUCUUCUUCUCUGUCUUUUUUAAGGUUUCUCUCUGUUUUAAUUUUGUUUUUUUAGGUUAACAUAAAAAGAAAGAUUAUUCAAAUAAAGAUAGGACCUUUACGGCAAAAAAAUCCUCUUUUUUGAUCCUUUCUACGGUGUAUGUCAGUGCUUACUCAUUCAAGGAUAUUGCUUAUUCAAUUCUUAAAAUGGGUUUAUUCUUGUUCAAUUAGAGAUAUGAAUUUAGUCCCUUUCUUGCUUUCUUUCUCCGUUUAAAAUCAUGAAAUUGAACUCAAUAGUUACAUGGGUUCUUGUUUUUCUUGUUGAUAUUGUUUUGUAAUUCCAAAGGGUUACUGGAAUUAAUACUGUCUUUGUGUUUUAAGAUUUGAAGAGUCUCUGGCGCUAUGGAUCUGUCUCCAUUCAAGUUGGACAUUGAUGAGCUUAUAAAUGAGUUUGUUGAGGUGUUUACUUGGAUUUGUUAUGUUGGGCUGUUUAUGCUUUGUUUAGCUAUUGUUUUUCAUGAAGGUUAUUAUGUUUUGACUGUUUUAACAGUUGUGGUGUUCGGGAACUGUUAGGGUGAGUUUACAACUUUGGCUGAUAUGAAAAGAGUAUGGCUUUCCAGGAAGUUUACCUACAUCUUGAAGCUAGGUCUCCUACCAAAUUGGCCUUCUUUAUGCAGUCGUUGUAUGCUCAUACAAUUGGUAAGCUCUCACCGACUUGAUUUUUGUAUUGUCAUUGAAGCAAAUAAUGUCUGUGCUAGAAUCCAGUUGUCGUUGUGAGUUUUUCUUCAGUUUAAAAAUUGUUGCCCUGGUUAUAUUUUAUAAAGCCCGUUUCUGGUAAUGGACAAGUCCCAUCUGGGGCUGGAUAGUUUUUGGAUCAUGUUGCCAUCUCAUCAUAUUUCUUGAGGCAUAUGUAAGCGAGAGCUUGUUUAAUCUUACCAUGCUCAUAGUGAAUUUAGAUGAUUGUCUCCUUGAAAGUAAAUCAAGGAUUUUUUUUUAAUUCAAUUUCUAAUGCAAAUUUUGCUAACCAACAUGCAAUCAAUUGCAGGUCACAUGAUUAGCACUUAUUCUUUAUCACAAAGGCUAGGAGGCAUGUACUGCCUUUACUGUCUUUAUGAGACUCAACCAUUCAAGCCUCCUUUCAAAAUGUACUUCUCUCUUGGUAUAUCUGCACUUUCUGCAUGAACUUUAUCUUUAAUGUACUUAAUUUUGAGGUUUAGUUUAUUUUGAUGAGGUUGUGCUAUGUGCUAUGCCAUAUUAUGAAGCUUUUGCUCUAAUUCUCUUUGCUUAUCUGAAUGGCAGGUGAUGUGCAAAUUGGCUUUCAAAUUAAUUCUUUUAUCCUUCUUACUAGAACUAAUUGAUUACAUAUUACUGUGUGACUUUUGGUUGUUUUGAAUGAUUUUUGCACAAUAAUAUUUUAUUAAAAUUGGAAGUUACCUCAGACAAACUACUUCUGCUAGGUCUUAUUCUAAUUUAUCAUUAUUGGUGUCAUGACUCAUCUUUUCCAUUCUUUUCUUUCUGGGGCCACUCUUGUAUUCAGCCAUGAACAAACUGGGUUUUUGCAUUGUAUUGUCAGUGUCGUUGUGAUUAAUUUCUUUCAUUGGUUGGACUUUUAGGUUUAAAGUGAACAUGCUUAAGGGUUUUUCUUUGUGUGAACUCUCUCUCAUUUGGAAGCAUUUUAUUGCUCUUGAUCAUGUUGAGGUGCAUUUAGUGAUGAUAGUAAUAAUGAAGUUAUGAUUAACUGAAGUUUUGUUUUUCCUUCUCCUUUUCACCAUCUUAUUUCUUCAUGUUAUCUGACAGGAGAGUUGAAGAAACUCAAGACCCUUGUUAUAAAUGCAAAAGAACAUGGAAUAAAAGGAGUACCUGCUUUGGUCAAAAGGAUGCUAGAAAAGAACAUGUUUCUUUUUGGGUUUGUGGAUUUACAUGAAGGUUCUGUCAGUGAGACAGUGAACCAACUCACAGAAUUGCAAGAUGCCCGUGUGCAAGUUGCAUAUAAGAAGU